UCUAACUGGUUUCAUUCUUUCAUUAUUCUCUCAAAACCCCAAUCCCAAAUCCUUUAAUCUUCUUUCAAGAAAAUUUAGUUACUUUUGUUUUGUUAUCUGAACAUUUAAUCUGAAUAAUUGGUUCAGUUUGUAGAAGAGCUUGGAUACUCGAUUUUUAUUAAAAGAAUAUUUGAUUUAUCGCCUUUUGGCGAGAAAUGAUAAGGGUUUUGACGAUGACAAGAUUGGAGGAGAGCAACUGGACGAUGGCAAAGUCUUUUGGGUCAUUUGGACUAGGGGGAUUACUACUGCUGGCGGCGUUGGCUGCUUCUAUGAUGGUUCUUCCGCUGGUGUUGCCGCCGCUACCGCCUCCGCCAUUGAUGCUUCUGCUGUUUCCAGUUGGGAUCAUGGCUGCUCUCAUGUUCUUGGCGUUUUACCCCACGGAGGCUACUGGAAAUGUCGUUGUUCAUACAGUAUAAGAACACAUGUUAAACGUGUCUUUCAUAGGAAGAUGGUCGGCCAUUGGGUCGGCGGCUCUGCUGAGGUCGUAGAUGUUGUUGAUUUCUUAUGACUAUAUAUUUGUACAACAUUUACAUUACUUUAUUGUUAAUUAUUUCUUACAAAUGAAUUAUACAUUCAAUUUUGAGAAAAAAAAAAAAAAAGAAAUUUGAAAGUAUAAACAUCAUAGAAAAAAUUUGUGAAUAAUUCCCUUUUCUUCUUUGUUUUCUACAUUUAUGGGGUUAUUAAUACAAAAAUAAUGCAUUUUAUGGUUUAAUGAUAUUAUCAAUGUGUUUAUCAAAAUAAUUAUUUAGUAGAAUAUUUUAUUUUUUGUUCUUAAGAUUUGAUUUUCGUAAAAAGAAAUUAAAAAUAAAAUCUUAAAUACAUGAUAUCAAUGUUAUUAAAUUUGAUAACUUUAAAUACGUUAAAAAAAUUAAAUAAAAAAAAUAAAAAUAAUAUAAUUUAAAAUUUUAAUAAAAAUUAUAUAUGUAUUUGAUAAAAAUAAAAAAUAUAUUUUAUAUUUGACGAAUUUAAUAUAAUUAUUUUUAUUUUUAUAUGUGUUUAAUAUAAAAUAAAUAUUAUAUAAAUAUAAAUAUAAAUAUAAAUAUAACAAAUAUAUCUUUAAAAUGAUUAAGGCGAAAAAAAUAGAAACAAUCUAACAAAGGAGCUGAAGAGCAGCCAUAAAACUUUAUGGAACAAGAGUGAAUAGGAAGUUGCACGAUUCAGCAGCCUUUUUAAACCAUGUUCAAAAUGGUUCAACCUUAAUGCUCAAAAACAUUAUUAUUAUUAUCUCAUGCUUUAAAAUUAGAUUAGCAUUUCAAUUUUGGAAAAGUUGGUCGUAACUACAGUGAUUUUGAAAAGCAUUUUGGCCUCAUGGGAUAUUAUUCUUGUGAUCAUAUCACAAAAAUAAUUGAUAUAUGUAACUUUGACACAAUUAAUAUGAACUCCUAUGUUCAUCAAAUAACAAUGUUCUACCUUUCUUCAAGUCUCAAUGCGCGGUUUUAGCCGCCUAAGGUUGAACAUGAAUUCUUUUUAUACCAUCUCUAAAUAUAUUGUUAUUGAUUUUUUUAAAAAUAUUACAGUAAUUUUUAAUUUAUUGAUGUAAAUGACAUAAAUUUAUUUAAUUUGGAAAUAUCAUAUUUUUCUACGUAAUUCAACUUAAACAAAAUUAAAUUAUAAUUAAAUUGAUUCAUAUAAUCACCUUUAGUAAAUGACAUCAUACUGUGACAUUUUUUUAUUAGGCGUGUAAAUGAUAUAUUAGUAUUUAUAAAUUACUCAGGUUCGAUUAGAAUAAAAUUCGAAUUCGACUCAAUUAUUAUCGAAUCAAGCUCGAGCUUGAGUAACUUGAUUUAUUAAUCGAGUCAAGUUUGAAUAUUUUUAUACUGACUCGAGUAGCUUGCGAGCCUAAUCGAGUUUUUAUAUUUUAAUAUAUUAGAAUUAUUUAAUUGAUAAAAUAUCUCAAACUCGAGUUCGUGCUCGAGCACAAAUAACUGAACUUUUGUCAAAUAUAAAAAUUAAACUUAUUUUUACAUUUUAAUUGAAUUUAAUCAAACGAAUUCGAGUAAUUCGAUUUUUAUUUUUAAUCAAGUUCAAGUGAAAAAAAAACUCGAUCGAAUUCAAACCGAAUUUCGAGCAUUUAAUUUAAAUUCGAGUUCGAACUUAAUAUUGUAUUGACUCGAACUAGAUUGAUUAUACUUUUAAUUUUUAUACUGAGAUUUUUUUUGUAAGAAAAGAAAUUUAAAUAUUUUGUUAGUUUCAUUGAGUAUUGUCACAUUAGAAAUUUGUAUGUCCAUGAUCAUAUUAAUCAGUUAAUUUUCUUAAUUAUAGUUGAAUUAACAUGUGAUAACCUUCGCUUGUAGAUUAAAAAAAAAAAAUUCACUUUCGAGAUACACGAUAAUUUUUUAAUAUUUUAAUCUUUGAUAAUACUACGGCCGAUUUCACUUGCUUUUUCUAGCAUCUUUAAGUCGUUUUAAGAUCCAAUAAAAUGAAAAUUACAGUCUGGAAUAUUCCCUACCAACAACUCGUGCUCUGAAUUUAAUCUAUUUCUGCAAAGUUGUGCUGAAUGCUGAUGCAAUCUCUGCUAAACAUCUUGAAAUUGUACUCUUAUUCUUAUAUUAUUUCCAGCAAAAAGAAGAUUAAAUCAAAGAUGCAUCUUACAUUGAAAAUUCCAAGUGCAGGAAACUGCAUUGUAACUCUGAUUGGGUAGCAAAAAAACAGUUUAAACUAUGACACAUUGUCAAAAUGUUUGAACCAGUUGGAACUACUUCAAAGACUCCAAAGUCUUUGGAUUCAUACCAUAUGUCCGAGUUAACAACAAAACAAACAUCAUCCAGCCUAGAUUUCCAAGAACCAAAACCUACUAUUAAUACUAAUAUACUAUGAGUUUUGCUAACGAUUAGUAACGUUACUAUUUAAAGUAAUAUUAUCGAAAUGCACUGAAAAAAUAUAUUACUUGAUAUAAUAACCUUAAAGAGUGCCCUUAGAACACUGCGGUUGAAAAAGUAAUGAACUUUUCAAUGCAUUUCCCUCCUUAUACUAGUUUAGAAUCUUUUGACAAAGAAAAGAUCCUUGCCGUUCCAUCUAUACAGUAAAAAAAAUUGUUUUAACUCCAUCCAAAUUUGGGCAUAAAUUAAACAACUUGGAACUACAACGUGCACAAAUUGGUUUCGAGACGAUUUGCUUUAACGGUUGGAAGAAAAAUCCGGUACUUUAACUCAAUUAAGCAGUAAAUAUAUUAGUCUUGUUCUUCUCACAUUUCAUUGUCUAGGAUAUCCCGCAUCAUUUGUAUUGGAAUGAGGCCUUCAGUGCGGAUUGCCAGCUUGUUUUGAUCAGGGCUGAUGAAGAAUAAAGUUGGCAAUCCUCUAACCUGGUACAACAGAAUUUCAAGUUCCACUCAGGUCACACACUAUACUAAACUGAAAGGAAGAUUUCCAGGCAAUUUGACGUAAGAUGCAAAACAGCUGUUUUAAAUUAGGCGAAUGGUUGCUGCCAUUACAGAAAAUGUGCACUGUGAAAAGGGGGGGAAAGGAGAAAUUAAGAAAUGAAUAUUACUUGGAAAAUUACCUGCAUAUUGUGCGCAAAUUCAUACUCAUCAUCAGCAUCGACUUUGACAAUAAUUGCAUUUUUCUCAUACUCCACUGCUAGCUGUGAUUAAAAAAAUAUAGAUAUAGAGAUUAUACUUGAGUAAAUCUCCAAACUGGAUCAAACAAAUCAGGCUGGUCCUAUUUGUUCACAAUAACCAACUACUCCAAACUUUUUCAACAUUGGUUAAUGAGUAUAAAUUUCAGUGAAUAAUGAGAUACAAAAUAUAGUUUGACGACAAAACUUUUUAUAAAUAAGCAACCAAAUAUAAAAAGUAAAGCCUGGUUUAACGCAAUCAAAUAUCUGAAUUUAAUUUGAGAAGAGAUGGAUGAAAGUGUUAAUUAAGCUCUGCAUGGUUAUUUAAGUGGGUUCAAGGACAUAACAUAGUUAAGGGCCAUCUUUUUGUCACUUUCCGGAAAGAGGCAUCUCAAAAUAUUUAGAAUAUAUAGAAGCUAUCUUUCAUAAUUGUGAUGAAAUGAGAAUUGUCAGCAAGCAUCUAACUUGUGCAUUAAAUGCAAAACUGCAGCAUUUUCCAAUGCCAUUUUUAGGACCUACUUUCCCAAAAAAUUAAGUUUAUACCAUGUUAAGGAAUGAUAGAUUCAGAAAAUGUUUGUCGAAAACUCACAAUAACAUCAUUUCUUUAGCAGAAAAUUCCGUAGUACAAAAUGUCAGAAAGUUUAUUGUACCAACGGAAAAAUGUCAGCAGGUCUCUACUCCUUUAAUUCUUCUACAGAGGCUACUCUCCUGGAGAAAAAUGGGUGCUCCAUACCAACCUGGAUCACCGGAAGAGAAAUGGAAGUCCCACAACGUACUCAUCUUAUUUUAUGAAACUACUUCAAUAACAUAUAGUGCACCUGCAUAUCUAAACCUCUUUGGUCAUGGAGUUGCUUCCCCUGCCCAUUAUUUUCCUCUUUAGUUUUCAGCUAUAGUCUAGUGCAUUGGCUUGUUUUUAUAGCUCUUAAGAUCCAUCAAAAAGAAAACUACUACACAAUCUGAAAUAUUCCUUAUUGACAACUUGUACUCUGCAUUUAAUCUAUUUCUGCAAGUUCUGCAGCCAGACCAGAUCAUGGCCGAUACAAUCUCAGCUGAACUCUUGAAAUCAUGGUUUUGUCUUCUACUAUGAAGUAGGAUUUCAACUCUUGAUGACCCUACAUCCAAAGCCAGAUCCUACAAUGAUCUUGCUUUUAAUAAUGGAGCAUGGCAAUUAGGUUAUUUUGGGAUUUUUUAUUGCAAAAAUUGUAAAAUCAGGAUCAAGAAGUUCAAUCUUUAUAAUUAUAAGCACUAGUAUGAUUGCAGUUGGGUUAUUAUGGUAAAUUUUUAUCGCAAAAUUAUAAAAUCAGGAUAAAGAAUUUCAGUCGUUUUAACUGUAAACAUUAGUACAAUUGACGAUAAGCUAAAAUAAACACCAGACCAGUACAUUAUUCCCCAGAUAAGGAAAAAUACUAUUCUUAUUCACAGAUUCUAUCUGUUUGAAACAAAUGUAAACGUCACAUAAGUUCUAGGAUAGAAAAUUCUUUUAGAAUGAUUUUAGAGGCCUAUGAUUUAAUUGUUCAUUCAUGACAGUUGAGGUCGACUUUCUGAUAUUUUACACCAACAUUCUAUAUUUUAUAAUAAGCUAUAAAAGAGUGUUGUAAAAUUAUAAUUUUGUGCGUAUUAUUAUUUUUUGUAACAUAAUCUUUUUUUAUUUAGUAUUAUAUUUUUAUAGGUAUAUUUUCCUUAAUUAUUCAAGUUAGAAUUAUCUUAUUAAUCUUAAUUAUGAUUAUUUGAUUUUUUUUCUUUUUAUUUCGGCUUUGAUUUAGUGUUCUUGAAUAUUUUACUAUGAAAAUUAAUUGAUACUUAUUUUUUCCCCAAUUUUAUAGUUGCAAGGUUUUCAUAUUAAAACAAAAAGUUAUGAUGUUAAAAAAAGAAUGUGAAUGAUGGUAAGUUUAUUUUAUCAAAAUUUUAAUUUUUUUAUAGACCUCUUUGAAUGAUUUGAUUUGAUCUAUUUAUAUAUUUUUUGAUUUUUUGAUUUAUUAUUAAUAUUUGGCACUUAUGUUUUCUAUCUCGAUAAAUUUCAUUAAUUUAAUUUCCCAAUAAAAAGGAUUAAAGUCUACUUUUCUUCAAUCAUUUAUUUGAUUAUUAAAUAUUUAUUAUAAUAUGAAGGGAAGAAAACUAAAAAUAUUCUUCAUUAUUUUUAUUAUACAUUAUAUUUUUUUUUUUUCUUUUUAUGUAAUUCAGCCAAAAAUUUAACCAUUUGAUAUAUUUGAAUUUACAUAGUUUCAACUUAAAUUUAUACAUAUAUAACAAACUUACAUUUACAGUCCUAUAAAAUCUUUGUUCUUUUUUUCUCAAACAUAUAUAAUACAUUUUGAUUCAGGCAUAUACUUCAUUGAUAAAUUUAUUUUUUGCCAAAAAUAUAUUUACAAUGUCCUAAAUAUUUAAAUUUUGAGUUUUAAUAGCAUUAAAUUUCUUUAUUGAUAUCAUUUAUGACUAAAAUAUGCAUAUUCAAAAUAAUAAAAAGGUAAAUAAUUAUUAAAAGGAAUCAUGCAUUUCCUUUAAUUGAUUAAAAAAGUAGGUGAAAUCACAUUAAAAUCUUAAAUUAAGGCAUACUUAAUCACACUUAUGGAAAAAUGUUUAAUUUGAUUUUUCUCAUUUAACUUUUUAAUUACAGGUAGUAUCCAUAUGAUAAUGAGUUACUCUUAAAUAUCAUUUGGAUAUAUGCAUGUGUAAAUUUUAUUAAGUGUUUAAUUAAGUAUUAAACAAUAUUAUUCAUUGAAUGUUUGAAUAUUUUACAAAAUAUUAUUCUCUUAGAUAUCAUUUGAAUAUAUGCAUAUGUUAUUUUUAUAUCUUUGUUAAAAAUAAUAUUUUUAUGCAUAAUUAUGUAUAUAUAAAAAUAACCCGUGCAUAGCACAGGCUACAAAUUAGUAAUAUUUAAAAUUUAAAAUUUUUUAUUAUGAUAUUUGAAUUAUAAAUUUAUUAAUUAAUGUAAUACUUAUUCCUAAUAUGAUUAAUUUUAAAUAAUGAUAUGUGAUUAUAAAUAACCCUUCAUGUGACAUAUUAAUUAAUAAAUUGAUAGUUCAGGUAUUAAAUUAGAUAUUUUUAAAAUUCAAAUACUAUAUUAAAUAUUUUACUAUAGUUUAAGGAUCAUUCAUAAUAUUAUCACAAUCUAAUAUAUAUACCAACUUAAUUAUUAUUUUAUUGAGUUAAGACUAGAUGCUUAAAAGAUUUAUUCAAAUUUGAACUCGAUUCCACUUUUUUUUCCAAUAGGAUGUCAUAGUUUGAGAAUAGAAAAAUGGAUUGCAAAUGUUAGGAUUCAAAUUUUAAACCUACAAACUAAUUGAACUAAGUUACAGAUUCAACUCAAUCCAACUUCAUUUAUCAAGAAAAUUCAUCGAUUUGAAAAAUCAACAAUUUGAACUUGACCAAACUCUAUUUGUACAAUAACAACAAUAAAUUAAGUCUUAUAUCCUAUAAUUCUAUGGUUGAUUGUAUGAAAGAAAAAAAAAAUGAAUCAUGUUAGGUUGUAGUUUUAAAUUUUCUUGCAACACUUUUAUCUAUAUAAAAAAUAUAUAUAUAUAUAUAUAUUUUCAUCUACUUUCUUAACCUUCAUAUCAUUUCUUAUUACUUCAACGUUUUUUGUGAUUUACCUCUAAAAGUUUUGGUUUUUCUCAAAUUCAAAAACUCAUUUCUCCUACUACUGCAUAAAUAAGUCUAUAUUUUAUCUAUCCAAGCCAUUUCAAAUGGCUCUUUCUCUCUCUUUUUUUUUUUUUUUUCCUUCAAUUCAAACUACCUUUAAUUUAUUUUGAAUUUCUUAUAAAAACUUUCUAAACAUUAUGAAAAUUAUAAAUCAAUUUUUAAAAAAUUUUAGUGAAAAAAUUUUGAUUAAAAUAUAAAAAAGUCUCUUAACUAUUUCACUUUUCUUAAAAAAAGCCAAUAUAUUUUUAUUAUACCAAAAUAAGCCUUUAUUUUUUUUUAUUUGUAUCCAAAUAAACCUUUAUUUCAAAUAACAAAUUUAUUUAUCUUAAGGAUUUAUUUAGGUACAAAUUAAAAAUUAGAGACUUAUUUGAAUAUAAAUAAAAGGUUAAAUACUUAUUUAAGUAAAAAUUAAAGUCUAAGGAUUAAUUUGAAUUUAACAAAAUUAUAAGGAUUUAUCUAAAUAAAAUGAUAAAAUUUUAAAAAACUUUAUUAUUUUAACCAAAAUUUUCUAAAAACAUGUCAAAAUAAUGCCCCACGCACCCCCACUUGCGCAAUAGAAAAAAAAUUAUCAAAUAAACUUUCUUAAUUUUUAGUUUAGUCCUUAAAACUUUAAAUCUUUAGCCAAACAUUAAAAAAAUUCAAAUGAUAUAUGCAUGGAAAAUGUAUGAGACAUAUUCUAACCAUAUAAAUUUCAUACAUGAAAUUUGAAACAUGUGAGAAAAAUAUAUAGUCAAAGUUUUGAUUUUUCUAGUUUGAUUAUGAUUUUUCUCUUAAAUCAUAAGUGCUUUUAGUACCAAAUUUUUAUAAAAAAUUCAAAUCAUCUUAGGGCACAUAUUUAUGUAAAAAUUUUAGUCUAAAGCAUUUGUUUAAAAUUUUAUUAUUAAAAAUUAUUCUAAGUUUUUAAAAAUAUUCUAGUAUACCAAACAACUAUAGAAGCAAAUCUAAAAGUGAAAACAAGCAUAACAAUGUUUUGAUUCCACUAUUGGAACUUAUUGAAAAAUAUAUGUAAGAAUAUUUGUAAAUUUAAGAUUAUUUACUCCAAUGCUAAUAUGAAUUCCCAAUAUCAAUUUACUUACAUUUGCUUCAUGAAUCUUUAAAGAUUUAUUUUUUAAAUUACUUUUUAAACAACUUCUUGGAUCUUGUUAGUCAAUGAAACAAUUUUUAGAGCUUAUCACAAAUUUUAUACUAAGUUUUAGGGUCUGAGGUAGAUAACCAAAAAUUUAGUAAGAGAGAGUUGAGGAGCAAGAUCUUUAUACUAAACUAAUUAAAAUUAUUAUUCCUUCCAUUUCAAAUUGUUUGGAUUGUAUUGAUUUUCAUGGAGUUUAAAAAAAAAUUUUUAAUUUUAAUAUAUUUAAUAUUAAAAUUAAAUUGUUUUAUAAAAUUAAAGUUUCAUGAUUUUUAAUUUCAAAAAGUAAAAAAAUUAUAAAAUAUAAUUUUAAAUAUAAAAAAGAAUUUUAGAUGUUAAAAAAAAUAAAAUUUUGGCAUAUCGAAAUUUUUUUAAAAAAAAAAUAAGACAAAAGGAGCUCUUCUUUUUGUUAAUUUCUGUAAAUACGUGUGUCCAUUAAUAUAGCACAUAUUCCAAUUAUUGGCAAUAGAUUUUUAAUAACAUUUAUGCAAAAUUAUAUUAAGAAAAAAAAUCUAAACUAACCCAUAUUAUAAAUUAGAUAAUGUCUACUAACAAAUUUGAAUCCAUUUGGUCCACCUAUAUUUGGAAUCAUCAUCGAACCUUGGACUCUUCCAAUUUCCAACUUUAGUCAAAUAAAAAAAAUAAAAAAGUCCACUUUCCAAUGUUUGAUAUAAAGGCGUGGAAAGAUGGACCUAAAACGACCAACACAAUCAAUUCUAUGAUAUUAGUGAGCAGUUUCAUGGUAGGGAAUUCUUUUUCAACUUCUAUACCAUAUCAAUUAAAUCAAAUCAACCAAAACAAAUUUGAGUAAAAUUUAGAGCCUAGGUAAAAAAAUAGUCUUCUAGUUAAAAUUCAAUUAAUCUAGAUAAUAAAUGAUUUUGGAUCCGUGGUUCUUCAUUGAUGUUAUUUUCGAUUGCAUGAUUUUAUAGGACAAGACACAUUUUGUUCUAAUUAAAUCAUGAUUUUAGUGAAUCUCUUUAUAUUAAAUUACAUAUAAAUUAAAAUUUAAUUUAUUUAUUUAUAAUUUAAUAAAUUUAGAAUUCCAAUUUUAAUAUGUGAAAUCUCUAAUUAUUAUUUUUUUAUAUUACAAUCUUCUCUCAACAAAAAGAAAAUUUUAUAUUACAAAAAAAUAACAAAUUAAACGUUAACAAAUGAUUAGCUCAAUGGUAAAAGUUUGUGUCCAAUAAUAAUAGUUUUAAGCUCUAUUUAAAUGGAUAAUAAAAUUAGUUACAAUGAGAUUAAAAAUAAUAAUAAAAUUUAUUAUAAUUUCGAUUAAAAAAAAUUAUUGUAAUUAUGAUUAAAAAAUUAAUAAAAAAUUUAUACUGACUUAAUUUUAUUAAAAUUGAUAUUUAAAUUUAAUUAAAAAUGUAAUAAAUUUAAUUGUACCACGUUGAAAGUACUAUAGGAUCUAAACGACUACUUAGCUAAUUCUCUUGAUAUAAAGGGUUGAAAAAAAUGCAACUACUAGGAUUACAAUUCAAAUUUUAAAUUAAUUUCUUUAAAGAAAUGUGUAAACAUUCGAAUUAAUCUUCAAAAUUAUCUUUUAUUAGUUUAAUCUCAAAAUGUUCGCCGUCUAAUGCCUCAUGAUACAUCAUAUUAUGAAUUAAGAAUCAAACAAUUUAUUUUUUUAAAAAAAUCGAAUAUCUUAUUAAGAAUUUUUUCUUUAAAAAAACCUAAAAAGGAAAAGUGAUAGGCGCGUGGGACAGUGAGGUCGACCCACAUCCGAUGCAUCUAGUGGCUUGGUACCAAUUGCAAAAUAAAAAUCAACAAAAACAAAGUCAUCGCAAUCAAAAUAAAUCUCACCCAUUAUUAUGUGUGUGUAUGUGCCGGCGUUGAAAGUCUUCAAUUCUUCACACUCCUUCAUCCAUUGAACUAAGACGCUUGUAUGAACGACUUUGCUGUCGCUCCAAGAGAAACCUGUGUCCCCUUCCCACCAGCAUCCUGGAUUUUGGCAGCAUCUUUGAAUCUCUUUCAUUACUAUUUAUUUUAAUUUUUUUCUCACAUCUUAUCAUAUCUUCUUCAUUUAUUUUGUGGGUGACAAUAAGACGUAUGUCUUUUUUUUUUUUUUCAACAUCAAAAGUUUAAUGGAUUUGGUUUUGUUUGUUUGCACAAAUAAAAGAGGGGUUUUGUUUUGGCAAUUAAAAUAUUGCUACUUGUAGUUUUCGGGAUUAAGUUAAAUGUUCUAAACUCAAUGUCAUAGUGUCUUAUAUGUAUUAGAUAUGUAGUAGUAGUUAUAUACCAACGUAGUUGUUAUUUUACUGAGUUAGAGUAAAGCUAGUACUAUGACUUACAUGAAUCCAAAUAAUUUAUUCGAAUUUAAUUCAAUAUAAUUGUAUUUUAUCAAGAAAUUUUAAUUUAAAUAUAAAUAAUGAUAAGUGAUAGAUAAAUAACCUUUUAAAUAUCACAGUAAUUAACAUAUUUAUAAUUUCAGUAUUACAUUAAGAAUUUUUAAAAUUUAAAUAUCACAUUAAAUUUUUUAUUAUAAUUUAAGGAUCAUUCAAGAUAUCAACUCAAUUCUUAAUCAAUUGAAUUUUUGUAUUUCUCUAGAAGAAGAAUGCAUGGCUCUUAUUUGGCAAAUGAGUUUAAAAUUACAUUUAAUAAAGUUAGGAAAAAAGAAAGACUAAAGUAUAAAGUUAGGGUAAAUAGCAUCUGUAAUAUUUAAAUAUUGAGUUAAAUUUUAUUUUGAUUCUUAUUUUUUAAAAAAAUUUAAUUAGAUCUCAAUUGCAUAGAAGUAUCAUAUUUUGGCCCUUCCACCUAUGAAACCAUCUAAAAUAAUAAUAAAUGUCAGCUAACAUCAUGUGGAUGAUACCAUUGACAUUUCAUGUGGUAGAUGGAUUGAUAGAGAGGUCAAAAUAGAAUUUCGUUUAAAGUUUAAGAACAAAAAAUGUGACUAUCCCAAAUUUUUUAUAUUUCAAAUAUAUUUUAUAAAAUAUUAAAUUUAAAAUAAUAUUUUUAUGUAUUUUUAAUUAUAAUAUUUUUUAUUCAUUAAAUAUAUUUUUUUGUAAUAAAUUUUCAAAAUUCUUUUGAAAAAAUUACAUAGCAUUUUAAAAAAUUAAGUAAAAAAUUAUAUUUGUUUAAAAAAUUAAAUAAAUAACUUCGUAUCUUUAAAAUAUUAAGUAAAAAAUUUCAAAUCAUUUAAUAUUAUUUAUUUAAAUUUUAUUUUGUAGAAAAUUAAAAAAAAUCAAAAUGGUCCUUAAUGCCUCUAGUCUGGUAUGGAGAAGAAAUCAAAGUAUCGAAAAUAUUUUUUAAUUUUUUAUAGUAUAAAAUUUAUAAUAAAAUAUUUCAAAAUAGGUUUUUUUGGAUAGAAAAUAAAUUUUUGAAUAGAUUAAAAAAUCUUUUUUUAAAUGAUAUGAAAAUUUUUACUUAAUAUUUUAAAAUGAUAUGAAGUUUUUUAUUUGAUUUUUUAAACCAAUAUGAAAUUUUUAUUUAAUUUUUAAAAUGAUAUAGAAUUUUUUUAAAGGGGUUUUCAAAUUUUUAACUAAAUUUUAAUUUUUAAAAUAUUUUUAUUAAAAACAGUAUUUCACUAAUAAUUAAUAUCAUAAUAAAAAAUUAUUUUAAAUUAUAAUAUUUUAUAAAAUAUAUAUGAAAUGUAAAAAAUUCAAUUUAUUUAUUUAUUUUUCUUUAUUUUUCCUUUUUUUCUUCUUUAUAAAAUAUAUUUUGUAAAAUAUAUUAGAAAAAGGAAAAGAAAAUUAUAUCUAAUAUUUUUAAUAGAAAAUAAAUUUUUUGGAUAAAAAUAAUAUUUUUAUUAUGAUUUAUUAGUAAAAUAAUAUUUUUAAUAUAAAAUAGUCUUUUAUUUUCAAAUUGUUAUGGAAUUUUUUCAAAAAGAUUUUAAAAAUUUUAACUUAAUUUUAAUUUUUGAAUAUCUAUUUUUAUCAAAAACAAAAACUAUUUAACUAAUAAAUUACAUUGCAAUAAAAAUAUAAAAUUAUUAUUUUAUAUUUUAUAAAAAUAUAUUUUAAAUAAAAAAAAAUUUGAGCUCUAAACUUUGAGUAAAUUUCUAUUUUGAUCCUUUCAUCUCCUGGCAAGAUGCCAACAAACAGCAUCCACAUGGCGUUAACCGGUAUUUAACGUCAAUUUAAACGAUUUUAUAAAUAAAUAAAAAAAGCAUAUUAGGAUAACUUUAAAUAUUGAUUUCUACCUAGUUAAAGCGAAUGAAAGUUUGUCCAAUUCAAAUUGUCAAUAUCUUUAAGAGAAAUUAUUUUAUAUUAUUCAAAAAAUUUUUAGAUUUUACAAACGACAUUAACAGAUUAACACAUACUUUUGAAUCUGUCAAUAUCUUUAAUAAAUGAUUUUUGAUCCGUAGUUCUUCAUUGAUAUUUUUUAUAAAAACACAUCUUAUCUUAGUUUAAUAAUAAUUUUAGCAAAUCUUUUUAUUUUAAAUUAAAACUUAAUUUAAUUUAUUCAUGUUUUAAUAAAUUUAAAUUUUAACAUUUAUAAUUUUUAAUUUUCAAAUUGCAAUUUCCUCUCAACUAAAAGUUAUAUUAUAAAGAAAUAAAAAAUUAAACAUUAACAAAUGAUUGGUUCAACAACUAAAGUUUGUGUCAAACAAUCGUAAGGGGGACAAAGCUUACAUAUUGAUAGAGAAAACAUGCAAGUAUUAAGAUUACACUCGAAUCUUAUAAAAAUUUAUUUUUUAUAAGAGAUAUGUAAAUGUUUAGAUUAAUUUUUAAAUUUAUUUUUUUUACUAGUUUUAUCUCAAAAUGUUUGCCAUCUAAUGCAUCAUGAUAAAUCUUAUUAUGAAUCAAGAAUCAAAUAAUUUAUCUAUCUCAAAUUUUUAUUAUUAAGUUUUAUUUUUAAAAAAUCGAAUAUCUUAUUAUUAAUUUUUUUCUUUCUAAGAAAGUGAUAGGCGCGUGGGAUAGUGAGGCCUGCUCACAUUCGAUGCAUCUACUGGGAUGAUACCAACUUGAAAAUAUAAAUCAACUCAACAAAAGCAAAGGCAUUACAAUCAAAAUGAAUCUCACCCAUAAUUAUGUGUGAGAAAGACGCGCCGGCGUUGAAAGUCUUCAAUUCUUCGCACUCCUCCAUCCAUUGAACUAAGACACUUUUAUGACUUUGCUGUCGUCUCAAAGAGAAGCCUUUGCCCCCUUCCCCGUCAGCAUCCUUGGAGCAUUUUUGAAUCUCUUUCAUUACUAUAUAUUCUAUUUUUUUCUCACAUCUUAUCAUAUCUUUUAUUAUCAUAUCUUAAGUCAGGUAGAGACUUAAGCCUAACAUCCGUGUAAUUUUAGGUUAAAAAUUAUCGUCCAUGUAUCUAAAUCAAUCUCUUUUUCCACUUUGUAUCGAACGUUUAUGUCGUGCAUUUUAUUAGCUCUUCAAAAACUUGGGAGAAAGUUAAUAAGUAGACAUGUGCAUGUGGAUGAGAAUUAGAUGUAUGUUUUUUUCUUUAAACAUAAAAAUAUUAAUGGAUUUGGCUUUAUUGUUUGCAUAAAUAAAAUGGAGGUUUUGUUUGGGCAAUUAAAAUAUUGCUACUUGUAGGAUCAAAAACAUAUAUUGCUACUUGUAGUUUUUGGGAUUAAGUUAAAUAUUCUAAACUUAAUGUAAUUGUGUUAUAUAUAUAUAUUAGAUAUGUAGUUGUAGUUAUAUACCAAAUUAAUUGUUGUUUUAUUGAGUUAGGAGUAAAGUUAGUAUAACUUACAUGGAUCCGAGCAAUUUCUUCUAAUUCAAACUCAAUCCAACUUUACUUCACAAGAAAAAUUAGUUUUAAUUUAAAUUAAUUUAAAAAAUUAAGUCAUAAUUCAAACUUAAAUUGAUUUAUUUUAAAAUUUAAUAAUUUAAACUCAAAAUAAUCCGAAUUUGAUAAUCCAGACUUGAAUAUUUUAACGUUAAAUUCAAAUAAUCUAACUCAAAAUGAUUUGAAAUUGAAAUAAUUUAAAUCCAAAUCGAUAUAAUUUUUUUUUCUCUAAAAUGAUUUGAUCCAAAAUAAUUAGACUUUUGCUACCCUCUUAAGGACUUGGGAUUAGUUAUUGAGUAUCAAAUAAAAUAAUGUAAUUGAUCUAACGUAAAACAUGACAUUGCAAGAAAACACUCUUAACAAUUAAAAUUUGAGAGGUUUCGUAUUCGGAUUUAUAUGAUGAAUAUUAGGAUUUAUCAAAUGAGGGAGAUCCAAAAUCUUUAUAUAUACACUGUACCAAAAAAGUCAUUAUGUAUAAAAAAAUUUAUAUGCUUAAUUUAUAGUAUUAAUUAUGGUCUUAAAACAUACUUAAUUGAUUGAUUUCAUCCAUAGAAAAAUUCAUAUUAAGAAUUUAGACUAAAAAAGGACUAAAUAAGGAAUGUGACAAUUCUUUAAUUUAAAAAAAAAUGGAGUGAUUACUUAUUUUAACUAGUUUUGGGACUUUUAGGUGAUAUAGUGAGAUGAAUUUUUAUUACAAUGUAAUUACAUUUUAUAAUUGAACUUUUAAAGAUUCAAUGAAUAAAACGAUAUACAUGGCACGAUGAGAGUUCUCUCAUUUCAUUGGAUGAAUUUUUAAGGGUUAAUGUUAUAAAUAACCUUUAAAAUAUAGUUAGUUAUUCAAUGUGAUACUUGAAUUUUAAAAAUGUUUAAUAUGUUACUUAAAUUAUAAAUCUAUUAACAAAUGUGAUAUUCACUUUUAAUGUGACUAAAUUCAAAUAAUAAUAUGUGGUGGACUAAUAAUUUUUUAAUUGCCAUAUUAAUUGACAUAUUCAUAAAUCAAAUACUAUAUUAAAAAUUUUUAAAACUUAAGUAUCAUAUUGACUAUUUUGUUAUAAUUUAAGGACAUGACAUUAACCAAAUUUUUAAUCAAUUGAAUUUUUGUAUUUCUCUAGAAGAAGAAUGCGUAGCUUCGAUGUAGCAAAUGAAUUUACAAAUUACAUUUACUAAAGUUAGGAAAAAUAAAAAGACUAAAGUAUAGAAUUAGGGCAAAUAAUACUUGUAGUCUGUAAACUUUAAGUCAAAUUUUACUUUUGUCUUUAAUUUUUAAAAAAGAUCUAAUUGGAAACUCAAUUGCCUAAAAUUAACAUAUUUUAGUUUUUUUACCUGUAAAACUGUUUAAAUUAACAGUAAAUGUUAGCUGAUACCACGGUAUGGCACAAUUGACAUCUCACAUGACAAAUGAAUUGAUAAAAUGAUCAAAAUAGAAUUUCUCAGAAAGAUUAGAGACCAAAGAUGCUACUAUCUCAAAAUUUUUUUAUAUUUUAGACAUAUUUUAUAAAAUAUUAAUUUAAAAUAGUAUUUUUAAAUUUUUUAAUAUUUUAUUCAUUAAAUGGAUUUUGUUUUUAAUAGAUUUUCAAAAAUUAAAAUCAAGUUAAAAUUUUCAAAUUCUUUUGAAAAAAAUUACAUAUCAUUUUAAAAAAUUAAGUAAAAAAAUUUUAUUUUCAUAUCUUUUUAAAAUAUUAAGUAAAACUUUUUAAAAUUAUUUUAUUUUCAUUGUUAAAAUUUUAUAUUUAUAGAAAAUUAAAAAAAAAAAGGCAAUCAAAACAGUCCUUAUUGCCUCGAUCUGGUAAGGAAAAGAAAUCAAAGUAUUGAAAAUAAUAUAUAUAUUAUAAAUAUAACUAAACUUUAAUUUUUAAAAUAUUUUUCUAUUAAAAAUAAUAUUUUACUAAUAAUUAUUAUCAUAAUAAUAAUAAAAUUUAUUUUAAAUGAUAACAUUACAUAAAAAGUCAAUUUUUUCUUUAAUUUUUUCUUUUUUCUUCUUUAUAAAUUAUAUUUUAUAAAAAAUAUUAGAAAAAGGAAAAGAAAAAUAUAGUUAAUAUUUUUAAUAGAAAUUAAAUUUUUUGGGUGGAAAAUAAUUUUUUAUUAUGAUUUAUUAGUAAAAUAAAAUUUUAAAUAUAAAAUAGUCUUCUAUUUUUAAAUUGAUAUAGAAUUUUUUUUCACUCAGAUUUUAAAAUUUUUAACUUAAUUUUAAUUUUUGAAUAUCUAUUUUUUUGUCAAAAACAGAAAAUUUUAAUUAAUAAAUUAUGUUACAAGAAAAAAUAAAAAAUAAAAAAUAAAUAUUUUAAAUUUAAUAUUUUAGAAAAUUAUAUUUGAAAUAAAAAAAUUGAGAUAGCAACUUCCUUAUUCUCUAAAUUUUAUGCAAAAUUCUAUUUUGAUCCCUCCAUCUACUACAUAAAAUGCUAAUCCACACUAUCCACAUGGUAUGUGUUAAUAUUUAAUGUCAAUUUAGGCGAGCUCAUGAAUGGAAGAAUCAAAUUAGAAUAAUUUUGAGUAAUUAAAGAUUUAGUUAAUUUUUUUUAAUUUAGGAUCAAAAUAUAAUUUAACUCAUAAUUUAAGAACCAUGGGAGUUAUUAAUUCUAUAGAAUUAAUCAAAUAGUUGAAAAUUUUUUACAUGGUGGCUAGGUUUAAAUGUUCAAAGUCCCCAUAAAAAAACAAAAAGUCGUGUUGUAAUGUUUAAUUGACUAGGGAAAUGCAUGGCAGCUAUUAUUUCCAAACAACUCAACAAUACCAAAUUGUUGGUUUAAAUACUUUGAACAUGGAUUUCCACCUAGUUAAAGUGAACGAACCAAGUUUGUCAAAUUCAAUUUGUCAAUAUCUUAAUUUCAUAUUGACAGUGAAAUUUUUAAAUUUUAUAAAUUAGAUUAAUAAAUUGACACGUAUUUUUUUGGAGUAUUGAAAACAUAAAGAAUGAAUUAAAAAAUAAAAUAUGUAUCGAUUGUUUAAUUUUGUUUGUUAAGUUAAAAAAUUUUAUUAAAAAUGUAUGGAAAAAGAACUUUUAUCUUUAAUGUGUAAGAAAAAUAAAAUUGGGCAAAAAAUAUUGGGAAUUUCCACAACUUCAUUGUGUUAUUGCCUUCUUGGCAAUUGUCAUGAAGUUUCGUCCUUGGCUUUGCAAAGUAAAUAAUGGACGGAAAUCAGUUGUCAUUUUUUUUUUCUUGUCAUAAACGUGAGAAAAAAAAAUUGUUUAUAUUUGUGCUAUUACUUUUGCUUUAUAGGCCCAUCACUUUUCCUUUUUCAACUAAAUUUUAGUCCAAUCUUUCUAUUUAGUGUCAUUAACAAAAUAAAGCUUACGUCCAAAUACACUUAACAAACUUGUAUUUCAAUUUUUAAUUUCAACGAAACCCAGUAAAAAUGUUGACAAUAGUUAAUUAAUAAUUAUUUAAUAAUUAAAAAAUAUUAUGUCUUGAAUUAAUUUAUAUAAUAUUUAAAAAUGUACCCAAAAAGAUUCAGCUAAAUAUGUUGAGAUCUGUCGCCUUGAUUCUGUCUGAUACGAAACAAGACUCAAUACAGAUUUCUUGAUUAGAAAAAAAAAAAAAAAAAAACCAAACGACUCCUUCACAUCAAACCCCUAAAUCAACGGCUGAGAUUAUCCGCAGCCAUCAUUUAACUAUAUAUAUAUAUAUAUAUAUGAACUAAUACGUCCACCACUUCUACCUAAAAAUUUCUCCGACUCUCUAACCGUUUUCAUUCUUUCAUUAUUCUCUCAAAACCUCAAAUCCCAAGUCCUUUCAUCUUCUUUCAAGAAAAUGUGAUUACUAUUGUUUUGUUAUUUGAACAGCUAAUCUGAAUAAUUGGUUCAGUUUGUAGAAGAGCUUCGAUACUCAAUUUUUAUUAAAAGAAUAUUUGAUUUAUCGCCUUUUGGCGAGAAAUGACAGAGUUUUGACGAUUACAAGAUUGGAGGAGAGCAACUGGACGAUGGCAAAGUCUUUUGGGUCAUUUGGACUAGGGGGAUUACUACUGCUGGCGGCGUUGGCUGCGUCUAUGAUGGUUCUUCCGCUGAUGUUGCCGCCGCUACCGCCUCCGCCAUUGAUGCUUCUGUUGCUUCCAGUUGGGAUCAUGGCUGCUCUCAUGUUCUUGGCGUUUUCCCCCACGGAGGCUGCUGGAAAUGUCGUCGUUCUUGUUCAUACAGUAUAAGAACACAUGUUAAACGUGUCUUCCAUAGGAAGAUGGUCGGCCAUUGAUGGGCGGCUCUGCUGAGGUCGUAGACGUACGUUGUUGAUUUUAUUUGAAGAGUACACCGUCCUUUCCAUGUUUGAUAACAUGGGUGCACCUCCAGAAUUCCUUCAAUCUGUAAUAUCUUAUCUUUUGCGUGGGAAGUUGAUAGAGAUCCUAUUAAUCUUGGACGUAAAAUAAAGAAGUUGGUCGUGGAACUAGUAAUAGUUCAAGCAGCUGAUGAUGAGAUUGAUGACGUGAUUGAUGAGUCAUCAACUACGUUGAAUUUCAAGCCUGCUAGUAAAUCUUCUAUUCAAGCUUUGAAAAGGGUGAAAUUUGGCAACGAUGAAGAUAGUCUUUUAUCCUUGAAGAAGAGGAGAAGACGUGAGGAUAUGAAUUCCAAGAAACAAUGUACUAUUUGUUUGGAUGAUUUCAUCGACGGUGAGGAGAUUGCUUCGAUGCCUUGUGGACAUGUUUACCAUGAUGGUUUCACUUUUAGAUGGUUUGAAACGAAUCACUUGUGCCCAUUAUACCGAUAUGAGAUGCCAAGUUGAUCUAAUUUAUAUCUUUUCCAAGUGGUGAAAAUAACUUAUUUUAUUUUGUUAUUGAAUGUGCGUUUGAGAAAAGGAAAUUGUUUUGGUGCUUUUGGGAAAAAGGUUGAGAUUGAACUCGUAUAAUUUGCUAACAUAGUGGAUAUUAUUCGAAUUUGUCCUAUGAUUUUUUCCUCAACGUGGGAGGAUUUUUCAUGUAAAUAUUUUUGUUUUUAUACUAAUGCUUGCAAUUUCUGUUUAAUUGAUUGAUUUGAAUAAAUUUUAUUAUGAAUUAUUAUUGGUUUGUGUUGUAGUGUCUAUAAUUCGUUUAUGAAAGUUUAAUACCUGAGGUUUAAUAAUUUUUGCUCAUUGGAAGAUACUAUUAAAUCUUAAUUUCUUUUCAUGAUCACAUUAAAGAGGAUCAAAAAACUUUAUUUGCUCCUUAAAGGGUUUGUUCAUAUACAUUGAUCCCUCAUAUCAUUUUUUUUUUCUUUGGUUCCUUCAGAAAGUUUUGUUUCCAAUUAACUAAAAAGCACAUCACCAAAACCAAAAAGAAACAAUUCAACCAAUGCAAAUUUUAUAUCUAGAAAAGGGCCAAACAGUGCUCAUUAAUGUGCUCUUAAAUUUUGGAAAUUACUGUUAGAAGCACUCUUUUUCCAAUUUUGAUUUUGUUUGCCAUAUUUUUAUGAAGCAAAAGGUUAAAAUAAAGAUGGGUCCUGUAUUAGUUAUUAUGGAAAUAUCUGUGGGCUGGACUAUAAUUUUGAGUCAUUACUGGCAUAAUUCAUUAUUCUAUUUUAUUGAACUAAAAUAAAAUAAACUUUUUAUAUAUAAUUUUUUUCCCAAUUUGUCUUUCCUUUGUCAUUCUUUUUUCAAGACAAAGGUUAAGAAUUUGAUAUUUCAACUUUUUUAAUGUUAUUUUAAAGAUUAUUGUCAAAGUGAUCCUAUGUUAAAAAUCAAAAUUGAGGCAAAUAGAUUAUCAAGUUAUUUUUGUAUGUCAUGAUGUGCAAUACAAAAUCUAAAACAGCUCAAACCUAUCUUUUAUAUAAGAAUUUAUUUUACAUAUAAUCUCAAUAAAAUCACCCUUGAUUUUGUUGAGUGAGGCAUUAAUUUUAACACAUUGCUUGUAUGAUUUCUCAAUUUUAUUUCCCUAUUUUAUUAUUUUUCACAAUUAAUUAUUUUCUUAAUUAUAUAAUUUAAUUAUAUCUUUAUUAAUGCCUAUAAAUACAUUACAUUAUGCUUAUAAACUCAUUUAAAAAUAAUAUAUAUAAGAUUUUAUGUAUUUUACCAAUGAAUCACAAUUUAUCAUUGUAUUAAUCACAACGGCAAAAAAAAAUUUAUACGAUGACAAGUUAUGAUUAUUGUUUAUAUUAUUGAUUAUAUAUUAACAGUGUAUUAAAUAUAAAUUUUAAAAUUAAAAUUAAUAAAUAUAAAUUACUUCAAAUUUUAUGAAUUAAAGAUAAUUUAUUUUUUAUAAAAAAAAUCAUAAUUUGAAAGUAAAAUCAAGAAUUGCAAAUACUAAUAUUAAAAUUCAAACCUUUUGAAUGUUAAUUUUUUAAGAUUUAAUUUCAACUUUCACAAGAAACAUGUAAUACACUUGAAACAUGGAUACAUGUGAAUCUUGCACAAACCAAUUAAAGGCUAGACAGGCACAUGUCACCAAUGUCUUGGUCUCUCCCAACUUUAGUCAAAUAAAAUGUCCAUGUUCCAAUGUUUAAUUAAAACACAUGGGAAGUUUAACCUAAAAUGUCAAACGCAAUCAACUCUUUUGUUGUGGAAGGGAUCCUCUUUGAACUUCUAAACCAAAUCAAAAUAAAUUAAAUCGACCAUAAUAAUUUGUUGGCAUUAGAGAUUAGACAUCAAUAUGGGUAAGCCCCAAGUUAAAAUUCAUUUAAUCUAUAAAAUAAAUGAUUUUGGAUGCAGAUUAUUAUUUUUUAUUUGAAAUUGUCAACAUUUUAAUCUUAAUAAUUAAAAUUAAAAACCCAACAUCCUAUAAUAAAAUACAUAAUUAUUUGUUAUAAUAAUACAUUAAUUAUAAAUUUUUUUCUUAAAUAUCACAUUAAUAAGUGUUAAAAAAAAUUAAAUAACAUAUUUAUGUUGAAUUUUAUAUAAAAAAUUACAGACACUAACAAAUGGGUGGCUUGAUAUUUAAAGUUAGCCUAGUUUCAAAACCAACUAAUGUUAAAUUUUUUAAUUUAAUCUCAAAUUAUUUUUUUGGUAUGAGACUUUUUGGUAUUUAGUAGUUAUUUUAAAUCUCAAUUAAUUCAGAAUUAAAUUGAAUCAAAUCCCAUAAAGGGAUAAACUCUCUCAAACUUUUUUUUUAUUUAUAAAAUUCAAAAUUAAAAUUUUAUUUAAAAAAAUUAAGUUAUGUACCACUUGGAUUAACAAGCGCGGUUAUUUAAUCUCAAAUUAAUGAUUUCUUAUGAAGAAUAUAAUAAAACAUUUAAUCUUAAUUGAAAACCGACCCAUUUAUUGAUCUUGAAUUUUUGUAUUAUAAGUUUUUUAAAAUUAUGUAAAUUUUUAUUAUAAAAUUAAAAAAAAAAAAAGAAGUGAAAGGCGCGUUACUAUUGAGGUCGGUUCACAUUCGACCCAUCAUUAUCUCUGUGUGUGUCAGACGCGCCUCGGUUGAAAGUCUUCACACUCCAUCCAUUGAACUAAGACAGUUCUACGACGUUGCUGUCGUCUUCCUCAGCGUUCUUCGAUUUUGGGAACGUCGUCUUCCAAUCUCUUUUUAUUUUAAAAUUUUCACACCUCAUCGUAUCUUCUUCUUGUUUUUGUAAGCAGGUGGGUUGAAAAUGGGAUAUAUGUUUUUUUUUUUUUUUAAAUUAAUGAUUUGGUUUUAUUUGUUUGGCUAGAUAUGAUGGGAUUUUGUUUGGGUAAUUACAAUAUUGCCACUUGUGGUUUUUGUAUUAAGUUAAAUAUUUUAAACUUAAGUCAUUGAGUUUUAUAUAAUUUAGUUGAUUUAACGAUAGGAAUGGUGUUUGAAUUAUAAUAAAAAUUUUAUACUUUAUGUAAAUAUAUAAAAGUUAAGUUUUUGAUAUAAAAGGAAAUAAUUUAUUUAAUAUAAAAAGAAAUAAUCUAUGUGGAUAGGUUAUAUUUUUUAUACGUAAAAUGUUACAAGUAAAUGUCAUGUGUUAUAUAAUUAAUGAAUUUAAUUAUAUAAUUAAUUUUAAAAUAAUUUAUUAUGGCUGAAUUAAUUACUUUUAAAUAUUAAUAUUCUUGCAUCCAAUAAAUUAGUUAUAAUUAAUUUGAUCAUUAAUUCAAAAAAUCAAAAUUUAAAUAAAAAACUAAGUAAUCAAGAAUAAUUUUACUUAUUUACUAAUCAUUAUUUAUAAUUAUAUAAACAUUUUAAUUUAUUAGAAUAAUCUAGUAUACACACACACACACACACGUACACACACAUAUACACACACAAAAAAAAACUUCCAUAUAUUAACUUGAAAAAGAAAAGUCUGUAAGAUAAUUUUUUUUACAUGAAUACUAUCAAACAAUGUCAUGUGUUUUGAUUAUAAUCAACGAUUCAAUUUUUAAAAUUAAAAUUACAAAUUAAUUUAAUUUGUAAUAUUUUUCAAUUAUCAUCCAAAAAAUAUUUUUAACUUUUCAAUAGCUUUAAUUUUAGUUUCUUUUUUUUAACUUUAAAUAUGAAUUUUUUUUCCUAUUGUUUUUAUAGUAAAAGUCUUAUUGGCCAAUCAAUAGCUUUCAUUUUGUUUUGAAUUCUCUAAAAUUUUUUAUACUUAUAUUACCUUAAUUUUGGGUGUUUGAUUACAAAAAUAAAAAGAAUUAACAGGUCAAAUUAUGUAUUUAAAAUUUAAACUCUAUAAUAAUAUGUAAUUAAAGGAGUCAAAAUUUUUUUAUAAUAAUAUGUAAUUGAUUGAUAACUCAAUCAGUGAAAUUCACAUUUUGUGAAUGUAUAUGUUGUCUAUAUAUAUAACGGUGAUAUAAUGAAUUUGACACAUUCAACAACCAGUGUAAAAAAAUUUUCACUUGUACUCUUUAAGUUUUUUUCUUUUAAUACAUUAUUUAAAUAAUUGUAUAAUUUUUUGAUAGAUUUGAUAAUUCAUAUAUUCAUAUCGUGUAAAAUACUAAAAAUUUAUAUAUUCAUUCUAUGUUUUACACAAAAAUUAUAUGUUACAAUUCGUGUCAACACAAAAAUAUGAAAUAAUUUUUUUUUUGUUUUGUUAAACCUAUUCAUAGUUUUUGCAAAAAUUUUAAACAGUAUUAUUUUUGUGUUUUUUAUCCAUAUUAUUUUCGUAUCUUGUCAUCGUAUUAUAUUUGAAAUUGUUAGGUCUACUUUCUGAUAUUUUACACCAAUAUUCUAUAUUUUAUAAUAAGCUAUAAAAGGGUGUUGUAAGAUUAUAACUUUGUGAAUAUUAUUAUUUUUUGUAACAUACUUUUUUUGAUUUAGUAUUAUAUUUUUAUAAGUAUAUUCCUUAUUUAUUCAAGUUAAAAUUAUUAGAUUAAUCUUAAUUAUAGUUAUUUGAUUUUUGUUUAUUUCAGCUUUGAUUUAGUGUUCUUGAAUAUUUUACUAUGAAAAUUAAUUGAUAAUUAUUUUUUUUCCAAUUUUAUAGUUGCAAGGUUUUCAUAUUAAAACAAAAAGUUAUAAUGUUAAAAAAAGAAUGUGAAUGAUUGUAAAUUUUUUUUAUCAAAACUUUAUUUUUUUUUUUAUAGACCUCUUUGAAUGAUUUGAUUUGAUCUAUUUAUAUAUUUUUUGAUUUUUUGAUUUAUUAUUAAUAUUUGGCACUUAUGUGUUUCUAUCUCUAUAAUGAAUUCAUAAUUUAAUUUUCCAAUAAAAAAUGAUUAAAAGUCUACUUUUUUUAUUUUUAUUUGAUUAUUAAAUAUUUCAUUUGUAAUAAAUAGGGAGAGAAACUAUUCUUCACUUAUUUUAAUUUACAGUUUUAUUCUUUAUUUUUUCUUUUGAAUGUGAUUCAACACAAAGUUUAGCCAAUUUAAUAUUAUUUGAACUUACACUAGGUUUUCAAGUUAAAGUUUAUACAUAGAUAAUAACCUUUGAUUCUUUCUUUUUUUACAUAUAUAUAGUAAAUCUUUUGUUCUUUUUUUCUUGAACAUAUAUAAUACAUCUUUGAUUCAGGAUAUACUUCAUUAUAAAAUUAUUUUUUUCUAAAAACAUAUCUCAUAAUGUCCUAAAUUAUUAAAAUUUUGAGUUUUAAUAACAAUAAAAUUUUUUAAUGAUAUCAUUUUAUGUGUAAAAUAUGUGUAUUCAAAUUAAUUAAAAGGCAAAUAAUUAUUAAAAGGAAUCAUGUAUUUCCUUUAAUUGAUAAUAGGUGAAAUCACAUUAAAAUCUUAAAUUAAGGCAAACUUAAUCACGUUUACGAAAAAAUAUUUAAUUUGAUUUUUUCCAUUUAACUUUUUAAUUAUAGGUAGUAUCCAUAUGAUAAUAAGUUACUCUUAAAUAUUUUUUGGAUAUAUGCAUGUGUAAAUUUUAUUAAGUGUUUAAUUAAGUAUUAAAAAAUAUUAUUCAUUGAAUGUUUGAAUAUUUUAAAAAUAUUAUUCUCUUAAAUAUCAUUUGAAUAGAUACAUAUGUAACUUUUAUAUUUUUGUUAAAAAUAAUAUUUUUAUGCAUAAUUAUAUAUAGAAAAAAUAACUCGUGCAUAGCACGAGCUACAAACUAGUAAUAUUUAAAUUUUAAAAUUUUUUAAUAUGAUAUUUGAAUUAUAAAUUUAUUAAUUAAUGUGAUACUUAUUCCUAAUAUGAUUAGUUUUAAAUAAUAAUACGUGAUGAUAAAUAAUCUUUCAAGUACCACAUUAAUUAAUGAAUUGAUAGUUUAGGUAUUAAAUUAGAUAUUUUUAAAAUUCAGAUACUACAUUAAAUAUUUUAUUAUAGUUUAAGGGUCAUUCAUAAUAUUAUCACAAUCUAGUAUAUAUACCAACUUAAUUGUUAUUUUAUCGAGUUAAGACUAGAUACUUAAAAGAUUUAUAUACACACAUAUACACACAAAAGAUAACUUCAAUAUAUUAACUUGAAAAAAAAGUCUGUAAGAUAAUUUUUUUUUUUUUUACAUAAAUACUAUCAAACAAUAUCACGUGUUUUGAUUAUAAUCAACAAUUCAAUUUUUAAAAUUAAAAUUACAAACUAAUUUAAUUUUAACUAUUUUUCAAUUAUCGGCCAAAAAACAUUGUUAACUUUUCAAUAGCUUUAAUUUUAAUUUUUUUUUAAGUAUGAAUUUUUUUUUCUAUUGUUUAUAGAGUAUAAGUCUUAUUGGCCAUUCAAUAACUUUCAUUUUAUUUUGAAUUCUCUAAAAUUUUUUUAUACUUACAUUAACUUAAUUUUGGGUAUUUGAUUACAAAAAUAAAAAGAAUUGAUAGGUCAAAUUAUAUAUUUAAAAUUUAAACUCUAUAAUAAUAUGUAACUAAAGGAGACAAAAAAAAAUUUAUAAUAAUAUGUAAUUGAUUGAUAACUCAAUCUUUGAGAUUCACAUUUUGUGAGUGUAUAUGUUGUCUAUAUAUAUAAUGAUGAUAUGAUGAAUUUGACAAAUACAACAACUAUUGUAAAAAAAUUUUCAUUUGUGUUCUUUAAUUCCUUUUUUUUUCUUAAUACAUUAUUUAAAUAAUGGUAUGACUUUCUAAUAGACCUGACAAUUUAUGUAUUUGUAAUGUGUAAAAUAAUAAAAAUUUAUGUAUUGAUUAUGUGUUUUACACAAAAAUUAUGUGUCACAAUUCAUGUUAAUACAAAAAUAUGAAAUAAAUUUUUUUGUUUUGUUAAACCUAUUUAUAGUUUUUGCUAAAAUUUUAAACAAUAUUAUUUUCAUCUUUUUUAUUCAUAUUGUUUUCAUGUCAUGUCAUCAUAUCAUAUUUGAAAUUAUCAGGUCUACUUUUUGAUAUUUUACACCAAUAUUCUAUAUUUUAUAAUAAGCUAUAAAAGGGUGUUGUAAGAUUAUAACUUUGUGAGUAUCAUUAUUUUUGUACCAUAAUCUUUUUUUUAUUUAGUAUUAUAUUUUUAUAAGUAUAUUUUCCUUAAUUAUUCAAGUUAGAAUUAUUAGAUUAAUCUUAAUUAUGGUUAUUUGAUUUUUUCUUUUUAUUUCAGUUUUGAUUUAGUGUUCUUGAAUAUUUUACUAUGAAAAUUAAUUGAUAAUUAUAUUUUUUUCAAUUUUAUAGUUGCAAGGUUUUCAUAUUAAAACAAAAAGUUAUAAUGUUAAAAAAAGAAUGUGAAUGAUGGUUAAUAUUUUUAUCAAAACUUAAAUUUUUUUAUAGACCUCUUUGAAUGAUUUGAUUUGAUCUAGUUAUAUAUUUUUUUUAUUUUUUUAUUUAUUAUUAAUAUUUGGCACUUAUGUAUUUAUAUCUCUAUGAUGAAUUCAUUAUUUAAUUUCCCAAUAAAAAAUGAUUAAAAGUCUACUUUUUUCUUUUUUUUAUUUGAUUAUUAAAUAUUUCAUUUGUAAUAAAUAGGGAGAGAAACUAUUCUUCACUUGUUUUUAUUUACAGUUUUAUUCUUUAUUUUUUCUUUUGUAUGUGGUUUAACAUAAAAUUAAACCAAUUUGAUAUUAUUUGAACUUAUAUUAGGUUUUCAACAUAUUAGGUUUUCAACUUAAAGUUUAUACAUAUAUAAUAAAUCUUUGAUUCUUUCUUUUUUACAUAUAUAUAGUAAAUCUUUUGUUAUUUUUUUCUUAGACAUAUAUAAUACAUCUUUGAUGUAUCAUAUACUUCAUUAUAAAAUUAUUUUUUUUCCAAAAGCAUAUCUUACAGUGUCCUAAAUUAUUACAAUUUUGAGUUUUAAUAGCAAUAAAAUUUUUUAAUGAUAUCAUUUUAUGACUAAAAUAUGUGUAGUCAAAUUAAUAAAAAGGCAAAUAAUUAUUAAAAGGAAUCAUGCAUUUCCUUUAAUUGAUUAAUAGGUGAAAAUCACAUUAAAAUCUUAAAUUAAGGCAAACUUAAUCACAUUUAUGAGAAAAUAUUUAAUUUGAUUUUUUCCAUUUAACUUUUUAAUUACAUGUAGUAUUCAUAUGAUAAUGAGUUGCUCUUAAAUAUCAAUCGGAUAUAUGCAUGUGUAACUUUUAUUAAGUGUUUAAUUAAGUAUUAAACAAUAUUAUUCAUUGAAUGUUUGAAUAUUUUAAAAAUAUUAUUCUUGUAGAUAUCAUUUGAAUAUAUUCAUAUGUAACUUUUAUAUUUUUGUUAAAAAUAAUAUUUUUAUAUAUAAUUAUAUAUAAGAAAAAUAACUCAUGCAUAGCACGAGCUACAAACUAAUAAUAUUUAAAUUUUAAAAUUUUUAAAUAUAAUAUUUGAAUUAUAAAUUUAUUAAUUAAUGUGAUACUUAUUCAUAAUAUAAUUAAUUUUAAAUAACGAUAUGUGAUUAUAAAUAACCCUUCAAGUACCAUAUUAAUUAAUGAAUUGAUAGUUCAGGUAUUAAAUUAGAUAUUUUUUAAAUUCAAAUAUUACAUUAAAUAUUUUACUAUAGUUUAAAGAUCAUUCAUAAUAUUAUCACAUUCUAGUUUAUAUACCAACUUAAUUGUUAUUUUAUCGAGUUAAGACUAGAUGCUUAAAAGAUUUAUUCAAAAUUUCAACUUUUUUUUUUCACAAGAGGUCAUAGUUUGAGAUUAAAAAAAUGGAUUGCAAGUGUUAGAAUUUAAAUUUCAGACUUACUAAAUGAUACCUCUUAUAUGUGGAUAUAUAAACUAACUAAAUUAAGUUAUAGAUCCAACCCAAUCCAACUUCAUUUAUAAAGAAAAAUCAUCAAUUUGAAAAAUCAACAAUUUGAACUCGACCAAACUCUAUUUGUACAACAACAAUAAUAAAUAAAGUUUUAUAUCCCAUAAUUUUACGGUUGGUUAUAUGAAAGGGAAAAAAAAUAAAUCAUGUUAGAUUGUAGUUUUAAAUCUUCUUAUAACACUCAUUUAUAUAUAUAUAUAUAUAUAUAUAGCAUCUUCAUUACUUUCUUAACUCUCAUAUCAUUUCUUAUUAUUUGCAUCAACAUUUUUGAUGAUUUUCCUCUAAAAUUUUUGAAUGUAAAUAAAAGGUUAAGCACUUAUUUGAGUACAAAUUAAAGUCUAAGAAUUAAUUUGAGUUCAACAAAUUUAUAAGGAUUUAUCUAAAUAAAAUGAUAAAUUUUAAAUUUUUAUUAUUAUUUUAACCAAAAUUUUCUAAAAACAUGUCAAAAGAAUGCCCCAAGCACCCCCACUUGCGUAAUAGAAAAAAAUUAUCAAAUAAACUUUUUUAAUUUUUAGUUUAGUCCUUAAAACUUUAAAUCUUUAGCCAAACACUAAAAAAAUUCAAAUGAUAUAUGCAUGGAAAAUGUAUGAGACAUAUUCUAACCAUAUAAAUUUCAUACAUGGAAUUUGAAACAUGUGAGAAAAAUAUAAAGUCAAAGUUUUGAUUUUUCGAGUUUGAUUAUGAUUUUUCUCUUAAAUCAUAAGUGCUUUAGUACCAAAUUUUUAUAAAAAAUUCAAAUAAUCUUAGGGCACAUAUUUAUGUAAAAAUUUUAGUCUAAAGCAUUUGUUUAAAUUUUUAUUAUUAAAAAUCAUUCUAAGUUAUUAAAAAUAUUCUAGUAUACCAAACAACUAUAGAAGCAAAUCUAAAAGUGAAAACAAGCAUAACAAUGUUUUGAUUCCACUAUAGGAACUUAUUGAAAAACAUAUUUAAGAAUAUUUGUAAAUUUAAGAUUAUUUGCUCCAAUGCUAAUAUGAAUUCCCAAUAUUAAUUUACUUAUAUUUGCUUCAUGAAUCUUAAAAGAUUUAUUUUUUAUAUUAUUUUUUAAACAACUUCUUGGAUCUUGUUAGGCAAUGAAACAAUUUUUAGAACUUAUCAUAAAUUUUAUACUAAGUUUUAGGGUCUGAAGUAGAUAACCAAAGAUUAGGUAACAAGAUCUUUUUACUAUAAUAAUUAAAAUUAUUACUCCUUCUGUUUUAAAUUAUUUGGAUGGUAUUAACUUUUACAGAAUUUUUAAAAAAAAUAACUUUAAUGUAUUUAAUGUUAAAAUUAAAUUUUCAGGAAUUUUAAUAUCAAAAAGUAAAAAUAUUUAAAAUAAAAAAAUAAGAAAAAAGGAGAAGUUCUUUUUGUUAAUUUCUAUAAAUAUGUCUGUCAAUUAAUAUAGCACAUAUUUCAAUUAUUGGGAAUAGAUUUUUAAUAACAUUUAUGCAAAAUUAUAUUAAGAAAAAAAAUUCUCAAUUAACUAAUGUUCUAAAUUAGAUAAUGUCUACUAAUAAAUUUGCAUCCAUUUGACCCACCAAUAUUUGGAAUCAUCAUCGAAUCUUGGACUCUUCCAAGUUCCAACUUUGGUAAAAUAAUAAUAAAAAAAAAGUCCACGUUCCAAUGUUUGAUAUAAAGGUGUGGAAAGUUGGACCUAAAAUGAUCCACACAAUCAAUUCUAUGAUAGUGAGCAGUUUCAUGGUAGGGAAUCCUCUUCCAACUUCUAUACCAUACCAAUUAAAUAAAAUCAUCCAAAACAAAUUUGAGUAAAAUUUAGAGACUAUGUACAAAAAUAGUCUUCAAGUUAAAAUUCACUUAAUCUCGAAAAUAAAUAAUUUUGGAUUCGUGAUUCUUUAUUGAUGUUAUUUAUGAUUGCAUGAUUUUAUAUGAUAAGACACAUCUUAUCCUAAUUAAGUUAUAAUUAUAGUAAAUCUCUUUGUCUUAAACUAUAUAUAAAUUAAAAUUUAAUUUAAUUAAUUUAUAUUUUAAUAAAUUUAGAAUUUAAAUUUUAAUAUUUGUAAUCUCUAAUUAUUUUUUUUAUAUUACAAUUUUCUCUCAACAAAAAGAAAAUUUUAUAUUACAAAGAAAUAACAAAGUUAAACGUUAACAAAUGAUUAGCUCAAUGGUUAAAGUUUGUGUCCAAUAGUAGAAGUUUUAAGCUUCAUUUAGAUAGGUGAUGAAAUUGGUUACAAUGAGAUUAAAAAUUGUAAUAAAAUUUAUUAUAGCUAUGAUUGAAAAAAUUUAUUAUAAUUAUAAUUAAAAAAAAUUUUAAUGAAAAAUUUAUAUCGAUUUGAUUUCAUUAGAAUUAUCGUUUGAAUUCAAUUAAAAAUGCGAUGAACUUAAUUACGUCACAUUGAUCACAUUGAAAGUGCGAUAGGAUUUAAAUGGCUACUUAGCUAAUUCUCUUGGUAUAAAGGAUUGAAAAAAAAUGUAACUAUUUGGAUUACAAUUCAAAUUUUAAAUUAAUUUCUUUAAAGAAAUGUGUAAACAUUUGAAUUAAUCUUCAAAUUUAUCUUUUACUAGCUUAAUCUUAAAAUGUUUGCCAUCUAAUGCCUCAUGAUACAUCAUAUUAUGAAUUAAGAAUCAAACAAUUUAUUUAUUUAAAAAAAUCGAAUAUCUUAUUAAGAAUUUUUUUCUUUGAAAAAAACUACAAAAGGAAAAGUGAUAGCCGCGUGGGACAGCGAGGCCGACCCACAUUCUAUGUGUAUUCUGGCAUGGUGCCAACCUGCAAAAUAAAAAUCAACAAAAACGGAAGACAUCACAAUCAAAAUAAAUCUCACCCGUUAUUAUGUGUGCGACGCGCCGGCGUUGAAAGUCUUCAAUUCUGCAGACUCCUUCAUCCAUUGAACUAAGACGCCUGUAUGAAUGACACUGCUGUCGCUCCAAGAGAGGCCCUUGCCCCCUUCCCCCCAGCAUCCUUGAAUUUUGGGAUCAUCUUUGAAUAGCUUUCAUUACUAUUUAUUUUAAUUUUUUCUCACAUCUUAUCAUAUCUUCUUCAUUUAUUUUGUGGGUGAGAAUGAAAGGUAUGCCUUUUUUUUUUUUUUUAAUGAAUUUGGUUUUAUUUGUUUGCAUAAAUAAAAAAGGGUUUUUGUUUUGGCAAUUAAAAUGUUGCUACUUGUAGUAUUAAAAACAUAUAUUGCUACUUGUAGUUUUUGGGAUUAAGUUGAAUCUUCUAAACUUUAUGUCAGUACUAUAACUUACAUGGAUCCAAAUUAGUGUGUUUUAUAUGUAUUAGAUAUGUAGUUGUAGUUAUAUAUCAAUUUAAUUAUUAUUUUAUUGAGUUAGGGUAAAGUUAGUACUAUAACUUACAUGGAUCCAAAUCAUCUAUUAGAAUUCAAACUCAAUAUAAUUUUAUUUUAUCAAGAAAAAUUAAUUUAAAUAUAAAAUAAUAAUAAGUGAUGGAUAAAUAAUUUUUUAAAUAUUAUAUUAAUUAACAUAUUUAUAAUUUAAGUAUCACAUUAAAUAUUUUAAAAUUUAAGUAUCAUAUUAAAUAUUUCACUAUAAUUUAUAAAUCAUUUAAUAUAUUAACUCAAUUCUUAAUCAAUUGAAUUAUUGUGUUUCUCUAUAAGAAGAAUGCGUGGCUCUUAUCUAGCAAAUGAGUUUGAAAUUACGUUUACUAAAGUUAAGAAAAAAGAAAGACAAAGGUAUCAAGUUUAAGUAAAUAGCAUCUGUAGUCUCUAAAUUUUGAGUUAAAUUUUAUUUUGAUUCUUAAAUUUUAAAAAAUUUUAAUUAGAUCUCAAUUGUCUAAAGGUAUUAUAUUUUGAUUAUUUUGCCUAUGAAAAUUGUCUAAAUUAAUAGUAAAUACCGACUAACAUCAUAUGAAUGAUGUAAUUGACAUCUUGUGUGACAGAUUGAUUGAUAAAGGGACCAAAAUAGAAUUUUGUUUAAAGUUUAAGGACAAAAAAUGUGAGUAUCCCGAAUUUUUUAUAUUUCAAAUUUGCCAAUAAACACCAUACACAUGGCGUUAGUUGGCAUUUAAUAUUAAUUUAGAUGAUUUUAUAAAUAAAAAGGUUAAAUUAAGAUAACUUUAAAUAUUAAAAAUCUAACUUGAACUUUUUAAAAAUUAAAAAUCAAAAUAAAUUUAAUUCAAAAUUUAAGGAUUAUAGAAAUUAUUAACUCUAUAAAAUGAGUCAAAUAUUUGAAAAUUAUUUUUUAACAUGGUGGCUAUGUAUAAAUGUUCAACGUCCCCCUAAAAAAAAGGUUGUUAAAAGUCGUGUUAGAAUGUUUAAUUGACUAGGGAAAUGCAUGGCAGCUAAUAAUUUCCAAACAACUCAACGAUACCAAAUUGUUGGUUUCAAUACUUUGAACAUUGAUUUCUACCUAGUUAAAGCGAAUGAAAGUUUGUCCAAUCCAAUUUGUCAAUAUCUUUAUUGUAACAGUUUUGUGUCCGUCCGAUGAAUUUAGAAAAAAAAAAAAUAAUAACAGAGUCGUCAUCAAUUUUUUUUUACUAUGUGCGAUUGACCAUUUACUAAAACAUAUCAUUUUAAUAAAGUUUUAAAAUUAAUUAAAAUUUAUUAAAAAAGUAAUUUUACUGUCUACGAAAUAGUCUAAGUUUGCGAGUCGAUUAUGUGUGGGGAAUGAUUAGCACCCUCACAAUGCCUGUUAAAAACGGUACCAAUUAACAACGUGUUAUCCUUUGAUUUUGAUAAAAAUAGUCCAAUUUUCGAUGUUCGAAAAAUAAUUUUCUUGAUUUUUUAUUUAUUAGAAAAAAACUUUUAUUCUCAAGAAAAAUAAAUUAAAACUUUUUUAUUGAAAUAAUUUUAAAAUGUUACAGUACGUGGUAACAUUAAAAGAAUUUAAAAUGUUACCAUGUUGAUGCACACAUUUUAUUCUCCUUUGUUAGAAAUUUUAUUAAUUAUUUAUAUUUUAUUUAAAAUUUUGAAGAAAAAUGAAAAUUUUUUUAUAUUGAAGAUUUUCUAUAAAUAUUUCAAUACACUGGUAAUAUUAAGAAAAAAAUCUUUUUAUCUAGGGAUUCCUUAAAGCAUCUCUACUCGGAAUACUAAGAUUGUUGGUUCGAUCCGUCUUUCAGGCUUUUUUGGGGUUUAGACACAUAUUAUUUGCUAUUGAUAAUUCUAGGCGUUUUCUUGGCAUAAAUGCCUUCACCAAUCGCUUUAAAAAAUUUAUCAUAGAAUAUUAAAGGCAUUUUUGAUUGAGAGACACCUUUAAUAAUCGAUAAAAAAAAAAUAGGGUCGAUUAUUGAAGGCAUUUUUGGCCAAACUCGCCUUCUAUAAUUCAGUAAUUUUUUUUUUGAAUUUUUAAAGGCGGUUUUAUAAUAAACACCUUCAAAUAUUUCAUAGACAAAAUUUGGAUGGGAUGGUUGAAAGCGUUUUUGGCUUAAAACGCCUUUAAUAGUUGUAGGGAUAAUUUUUAAUGGUCGGAUUAUUGAAGGUGACUAUAUCCAAAAACGCCUUCAUAACUUUUUAUUGGGAUUAUUCAAGGCAUUACUAGUAGAAAAAUACUAUUCAUAAUUCAUUCGAUUUAUUUUUAGUUGGUAUUAUUGAAUGUAUUUUUUUGCCCAAAAUGCCUUUAAUAUUUAAGACAAUAAUUUCUUAGGGGGUUAUUGAAGGCGAUUUUGGUAAAAAAUACCUUUAAUAUUUUUUGUAGGGGUGAAUGAAAGCGUUUUCUUGCUAAAAAUACCUUCAUUAAUCGCAUUAAAUAAACAUAAUUAAUAUGUGAAGUCAAUUGUACGUUUAUGCCUAGAAAACAUUUGGUUUAUAUAUCUGAUACUAUGAAUUACAUUUUGGAAUUUGCAUAAUGAACAUUAUUGUUUUUCAAAAACUUUAUCACACAUCUGAAAUUAAAAUUGAUAAUGUUGCCAUAUUACUAUACUUUUUUGAAAUAAUCGUACUCAGUAAUUUAAUAAUUACAGAUAGUGUAUUCAUAUUAAGUAUAUCAAUAAUAUUAAACCAAUACCCCCAAUGUACAAACUUAAAGUUUCCAUUCAACAUUGCAUGUUAAAAACAUCAUAACAAUUUGUUCUAUAUAUAUUUACAAUCAACCAACAAUGAUAAUACAUAAUCACACCAUUCUUUACGGACUUCAUCUAGCUCCUUUUCUGUGAAGCUUUCUUUACCCUCUCACUAAAAAAAAUAUCAGAAGUAAAUGUUAAGAAAUGAGAUCAUAAUGUACCAUUUUAUUUUUUUGAAUAUAUAACGAGUUUAUGAAAUUUAUACUAACUUUGAAUGGUGUGUUCAUAAAAUCAUGUAACACAAUCUCCCGCAUAACACAAAUGACAUAAUAUCCACAUUCAGUAUUACCGGAUUGACGACGAACCUGAAAAUUAAAUUAAGUCGGUUUAGAAAAUAGUUAUCUACACAAACUCAGCAUUAAAAGAAUAAAUUUGACAUUUACUGGUAAUGACACCCAUUUUUAUUUCUUUAUCUUCUUAUUGAAUGCAUAUAUUACCCUAAAUUAAAAAGAAAAAAAAUUAGUGAGAACCUAAAUAAAAUUCACAAUAUGAAGAAACAAAACAUAUAUAAUAUAAUAAAAUACUGUAAUACCUCUUUAUAAAAGUUUCGAUGUCGGGGUUAGGCAUCCCCGUUGGAUUAACUGAAUUAAGAAGGUAUGGCGUUAAGGAUUUGGUGUCAAACACAAUAAGUACCCAAUGACGACUGUAAAAUAACAACAAUGAUAUACUCAGAAUAAACAUCAAAUCAUAAAAUGGAGCAAGUUGGAGUAAUUAAGGUUUAAAUAUAGCUUACAACACAUUAUACGAAAGCAAAUAAUAAUCAGCCAGUCUUUUCAUACAUUGGAUCACAUGAUUAGCACGAUACACAAAUAUGCCACUCUGCUCAUUAAUGAAGUUGGAGUCAAUGAAUUGAAAUUUAUUCGUCAACUGUUUCCCUUUCAGCUCUCUAUAUAGGAAGCUACACGAUAACAAUCAAUACUGUCGGUUACUAUUACACCCUAAUACUAACUUAUUACAUAUUGAAUGUGCAUAUUUGUAUUUAUAAGCUUACCUCAUAUAAGUAACGAUUUCAGCAGUUGAUAAUUCAUCCAUUUCACAAAAUUCUUUCACCUCAUCCACACCAAUGAAAGAAAAUGAUUGUUUAUCAAAUAAGUUUUCCUCAGCCUUAAUGGAUAUGAAGUUUCCACCUGUAUAUUUGUCUAGUGAAUAUUUUGUUAACUUAUCCAUGGAAGUCUAGGCAAAGGUUAGACGUUGAGGCUAAACGUCCUCCUACAAUAUUAAACUUAUCUAUAAGUAUUAAAACCAAAUCAAUCAAUAUAAUAAUCAAAUUAUUAUUCAAAUUAUAACAAAAAUUUUACUUCUUGGGUGGUAGCGGAUGAUGGGAUUGCUUCAUUACUUGCAUCGACAGCUUCUUGCACAGGGACGAUACUAUUAGGUUGGGGUACUGACUUUACCUGCUGCAUUGCUACCAAUAUGGACUCCAAAGCAACGAGUCUUUGCUGUUGGUCAUUGAAGCGUUGCUCCUGGUCAUUAAUUUGUUGCUAUUGUUGCAAAAUUAUUGCUUCAUAUUAUGCAUUUCUCAUUCUUGGGGUUUUUGCUUAUUUACCAAAAUACAUGAUGGCAAGACAAAUUUACCAACCCCAUGAACCCGAUCGGGACUUUCUUUAGCGCCUAAUGCUAAAGACAAAGGAUAUUCACCAUACUGGGUUACUAGUUCACCAGAUUUAACUUUGGUAGCAUAAUCAUCCUGAAAGAUAAUAAUAAGUUAGGCUGUUAGAAUAUAUCUACACAAGCUAGUAUACACUUAUGCAUACAACCACAUUGCCAAUCAUACAUUAUAGAGUAGUUAUACAUAUAAUCUUUUUUGUCAGUUCCUCAGUUGCUUCAUUUACGAAGGAUCCAUCCUUUUGUAGAUGUCUUUAUUUUCAGACAUUCCAUCUGAAAACUUUUUUGUUUAAACUCACUAAUUCCUAUUAAAUUAUCCUAAUAAAAGAAUCAGAAUGUAUAAAGUGAAUGUUCAUAAAUAUUCACUAAUGAGUAUAAAACAGGUGUGCGAAGACAUACAAGCUCAUACUUCACAGUUGCAUAUCAUUUUCUUGUUGUCCGAUGAUGAUAUUGCUGUUUGGCCUGAAUGUCUCGAUGUUGUUCUAUGAUUUUUUACAAAAUCAAGAAAUUACGUUAAUCACAUAUAAAAAUCAAAGGCUAUAUUGUAUAAAGACUUAUAAACUUGGUUUAAUUUGGUAAUAAGUUUGCGUAUCGAAAAGUUUUCUGAAAGCCGAUAUUGAACAAAAUUUGUCCAAUCUUUCACACUUAUGACAUCUGCAUAUGCCGUAGGUGGAAUAGCCAAAACAUAACCUUCACCAGCCAUCGAUAAAAUAUAUUGAGUUGUCAAUCUGCUUUUAAAGUCUCUGAAAGCUUUUCCAGCAGAUUGUAACACAAUCUUUUUACACUCAAUUGAGAAGUCGAACCAUUCCUAAAUAAGUUAACACAAAUAGUAUCAACACAUUGAAUUUCAUUUAAAUGAUCAUAUAAUAAAGUUUACGAAAUAGUUGCAUAAACAUACCACAACGGACUGCCAUAUCUCAUCAUUUAGAUAAUCAAAAACUUUUCACCAAUUGGUGUACGUAAUUAAAAUUCUCCUACGGAUGAUGGCCCCAAUAUGAGUAGCCAUCUUGGCAGCUCCUUUCGAUACAGGCUACCCACUUUGAUUGAAGUCAACAUAAACUUUUAUGUCAGCCAGUUUGAUUUAUUUAUUUGGGCCCCUUCCCUUUUUUUUUUUGCUUACACUUCUUUCUUUUGCAUGUUCAUUAAAAGGAGAAUAAUGUUGUUCGAAGUCCAUAUUACCUACAAUAUUGAUCAUAAUUAUAUAAAUUAUACAAUACGACCCUCUAAAUUGAUCAUUGUACUUAAUUUAAUACAACUAAUACCAUACUGAGAACAGAAACAUCAUUUAGCACAUUAUUCAGCAAUGUGCUCAUACACACCCUUUAGCAAACUACUCAAAAACACCAUUCAGCCCCCAUUCAAACCUAUUUAGCAAAACAAUAUCAGACAACAAGUUCAACAAACCAUUCAGCAUGAAAUAUUAUUCAAACCCCUAAUAUCAUACAAUAUCAUUCGGUAAUACAAUAUCAGUCAACAAGGUUCAACAAACCACAACCUAGAGGAAUGCAUACUACAUAGAAAUAGCAUACUUGCCAAUAUUAAUGAAAAUAUAUAAACGCAUAUGCCAAUAUUAAGGAACUGAAAAAACAAAAAUUCUCUAUUGAAGGCGUAAAUAAUACAGUAAACUAAAAAAAAAAAGAAUUACCAACUUAAAACAGAGGUUCGCAAUGGUGAUUUGUUGAAGGUCAGAGGUGAAGAAUUGGAGAAAGAAAGCAAUGGUCUAGUAAAAAUGUGUUUAGGGGUUUGAUUUGUUUGGUAGAAUAACGCAGCUUCUAAUCGUUCUGUGUACCAGGACUCUGUAACUUCCUAUGUUCAAGGUAGGGAAAUGAAUAUAAAAUUAAUUAAUAAAGGCAUUUCCAUGGAACAACACCUUUGAUAAUCACUUGAAAAUUUUAUUGGAGAUUAUAAAAAAUGUUUCUUCUAAAAAAGAUGCCUUUAAUUAUAAGCCUUUAAAAUUGUCCAACCAACUUAUUAAAGGCAUUUUUUUAUAAAAAAAAUGCCUUUUCUAGAUUUUAAAAAUUAUAAAAAGUGUUUUCAGAAAAAAAUCACCUUCAAUAAGUAUGGAUUUUCAGAGUUUAUAACAAAUUAUUAAAUGCAGCUUAUAAUAAAAUAUUCCUUUAAUAAUCCGAGAAAAUUUUUUUAAAAAAAUAUUAAAGGCGUUGUUAUCUGAAACCACCUUCAAUAAUUAUAUACAAACUGUGAUAGGAAUUAUUAAAGGCAUCUAUCUUAAAUAUAUGCCUUUAAUAACAAUGUUACAAUUUGUGUGGUGUUAUAUAAAAGGUAUUUUACAGUAGAAGACGCCUUUACUAAUUCCCAAAAUAUUUAGUGAAAAAAUUUUGAAAGCUUCAGUUAUUAACAAAUGCCUUCAGUAAUUGAAGGAGCCAUUUCUAAUAAACGCCUUCGAUUACCAUCGUGGUAUAUUGAAGGUGUUUUAUAACAAAAGAUGCAAUUAAUAAUCCUAGAAACUUUAUUAGAAAAAUUAUUGAAGGCAUUGUUUUCUACAAUCGCCUUCAAUAAUUAUAUACAACUGUGAUAGGAAUUAUUAAAAGCGUUUAUCUUAAAUAUACACCUUCAAUAAUAGUGUUACAAUUUGUGUGGUGGUAUAUAGAAGGUAUUUUACAGUAGAAGACGCCUUUAUUAAUUCUCAAAAUAUUUAGUGAGAAAAUUUUGAUGGCGUCUGUUAUUAACAAUCAUAUUUAGUAAUUGAAGGCGUCUUUUCUAAUAAAUGCUUUCAAUUACCAUCGUGGUAUAUUGAAGGUAUUUUAUAAUAAAAGACGCUUUUAAUAAUCCUGAAAACUUUUAUUAGAAAAAUUAUUAAAGGUGUUGUUUUCUAAAAUCGCCUUCAGUAAUUAUAUACAACCUGUGAUAGAAAUUAUUAAAGGCGUCUAUCUUAAAUAUACGCUUUCAAUAACAAUGUUACAAUUUGUGUUAUGGUAUAUAGAAGGUAUUUUACAGUAGAAGAUGCCUUUACUAAUUCUCAAAAUAUUUAGUGAGAAAAUGUUGAUGGCAUUUGUUAUUAACAAACACCUUCAGUAAUUAAAGGUGCCUUUUCUAAUAAACGUCUUCGAUUACCAUCGUGGUAUAUUAAAGGCAUUUUAUAAUAAAAGACGCUUUUAAUCAUCCAGAAAACUUUUAUUAGGAAAAUUAUUAAAGGCGUUGUUUUCUAAAACUGCCUUCAGUAAUUAUAUACAAACUGUGAUAAAAAUUAUUAAAGGCGUCAAUCUUAAAUAUACACCUUCAAUAAUAGUGUUACAAUUUGUGUGAUGGUAUAUAGAAGGUAUUUUAUAGUAAAAGAUGCAUUUACUAAUUCCCAAAAUAUUUAGUAAGAAAAUUUUGAUGGCAUAUAUUAUUAACAAAUGCCUUCAGUAAUUAAAGGUACCUUUUCUAAUAAAUGCCUUCCAUCACCAUCGUAGUAUAUUGAAGGCAUUUUAUAAUGAAAGAUGCCUUUAAUAAUCUGAAAAAAUUUUAUUAGAAAAAUUAUUGAAGGUGUUAUUUUCUGAAAUCGCCUUCAGUAAUUAUAUACAAACUGUGAGAGAAAUUAUUAAAAGCAUUUAUCUUAAAUAUACGUCUUUAAUAACAGUGUUACAAUAUGUGUAACAGUAUAUAAAAGGUAUUUUAUAGUAGAAGACGCCUUUAAUAAUUUCUAAAAUAUUUAGUGAAAAAAUUUUGAAGGCGUCUGUUUCUAACAGAUGCCUUCUAUAAUGGAUUACUAAGUUUAAAGGUAUAUUAAAGGCACUUGUUCAAAUAAACACCUUCUAUUACCAUCGUCGUAUAUUGAAUAUGUGUCAUAAUAAAAGACGCCUUCAAUAAUCAACGAAAUUUUUUUUAGUGAAAUUAUUAAAGGCGUUAUUUUCUGCAAUAGCCUUCAGUAAUUAACUACAAACUGUUAUAUGAAUUAUUAAAGGUGUCUUUAUUAGAUAUACACCUUUAAUAACAAUGUUAGAAUUUCUAUGGCGAUAUGUUCAAGGCGCUUAUAAUAUAUUCAAAAAAUAUUUGGGAGGUAAUUAUUGUUGGUGUUUUUUGUUAGUAAAUGCCUUUCAUAAUCCUGUCCAAUAAAAAUCUUCCCAAACUUAACGCAUCCAAUCACUAACUUCAAGCUUCAUCUUCAUUAUUAUAUCUUUCCAAAUCAAGUACAAUUUACUUUCCCUUUUCUUCCGCUUUUAGUAUUUGAGCAUUGUCUUUUAGAACCCUAUUUCGACUAUUAAUAACUUAUUGACUUUAGCUUUUACUUCAUUCAACUAUUCCUUUAUCUCUUGCAAAUCAUGAUUUUUUUUCGUGAAAAUUUUUUUUUACAAAACCUACCUUAUUCCACCUUAUGUCAACCCCAAUACCAUAUACCCUUUGGUACUGUCUGCGUUAGCAGUAGAGUUUUAACAAUCAUAAUCUCUGAUAGCUGAUAAAUUACUUCACACCAAAGAGUUAUCGUUUUGUGUAAGUACUGUUCUUCUUAUUAUCUUUUGUUUAAAACAUAGUAAACUAUGCAAUUGUACAUGUUUAUUUUCAUAUUAAUUAUUUUUAUACAUUUGGUCUAAUUAUGUAGCAACUAAUAAAUGGAUAAAAGUUGGAUGCAAAAGUCUAGAUUAAGUCAAGAGUAUAGAGAUGGAGUGAAAAAUUUUCUUAAUUUUGCAUUUGAGAAUACAAGUGAAGAUAAUAUGAUAUUAUGCCCAUAUGUAAAAUGUGCUAAUAUCGAGUAGCAAAUGCGUCAAGUUGUUUAUGAGCAUUUAAUUUGUAUUAGAUUUCUAUCCGGAUAUGUUAAUUGAUAUUUUCAUGGAGACUCUAUACCGUCAAGGUCUUCCACUAUAGUUCUUUCAACAUCAAAGGCUCCCCAUCACCAACAUGAUCCUUUUAUAACAGAUGACAUUGAAGGCAUGUUGCGAGAUGCUUUUAACAGUCAUAACCAAAAUUUUCAUAAUCUUUCUCACAAAAAUGAAAGAUUUAAUCAGUUCAAUAUUGAAAUGCAUGAAUUUGGUAAACUUGGGAUAAGUGUACGUGACCAAUAACCUAGAAGAGAAGUAUCAAAGUUCUAUAGGUUACUUAAGGAAAUGAAUGAAAAACUCUUUGAGGGAUCGAAGCAUUCAAGGUUGUCUUUCUGUGUUCAUCUUUUUCACUUGAAAUGCUUAUGUGGAUGGAUGAAAAACUCUCUGACUUUAUUAUUACAGUUUAUGAAAAAAAAAAAUUUUUUGUAAAAAUCCUUAAAUCUUAUAAGGAAUCAAAGAAGAUGAACAAGGAUUUAGGUCUCGGAUAUGAAAAAAUUUAUAGUUGUCCCAAUGAUUGCAUGUUGUAUUGGGGGGAUAGAAAAAAUCAAGAAUCUUAUCAUUUAUGUGGUAUUUCUCAUUGAGUCGACAAAUAUCUCGAUGAAAGGCUAAAUGAUAAUGGUGAUGAGGUAUGUGUCAAAAAGAAGCCUGUUAAGGUUUUACGUUAUUUUCAUUAAUACCAAGACUGUAACGACUCUACAUGUCUUUCAAAACUUUUUCGUGUAACACAUAUAAAAAAAGAUAGAUCUUACAUGAAUGUCGAGACACAAGAAAUUACAAUAAUUUGUAUAAUCUAUUUUAACAUAAAGUAAAUAUUAACUCUUUUUAACAUAUAAUCAAUUAAUCAUUAAACUUGAUUAUUGUAUAUGAUAAAUUCAUAGGAGAAAACGAAAGAGAAAAUGGCUGCUGAGAUUGAAGUAGCAUCUAAAGGUUCUCUCAACAUGUAAGAAAUAAAAAAUCAGAUAUUCAUAAAAGUUGCUAGAAAAGAAAGGUAUGGAUGGGUCUAAGGCCUUGGAUUGGAUCCAACACCAUCUGCCUACUAUGAACAUAACUCUUCGUAAUUUACAUUCUCAGCAAGUCAGUCUUCGUGACAUAUUUCAAUAUUGAGAGAGGAGUUGCAAACUAUGCAACAAUAUUUUCAGCAAAUUAAAGCAGAAAGAGAACAUGAGCGUGCCAAAAUUGAAGAAGAACAUGCUAAAAUGGAGCUAGAGCGUGCAAAUUUUUAGUAGUUGCAUGAUCGAUUCGAUCAUCUUAUAAAUUUUAUGCAAUAAUAAUUUUCAAGAAAUGAUCUUGGUGCUCCAUCAAUUUAGGUAUUAUAUUUAUUAAAUAUUAAAAUUUUUAAAUAAAAAAUAAGCAUACAAUGAAGUGUUAAAAAUUGUAUGGUAUUAUUCAGUAGGUUGUUGAGCAUACUAGUGACCAAGGUAAAAAAUUUUCUUCAUCAAUUAGCAGCCAGCAAAAUAUAUGUAGUCAUCCAUUUCAUACAUUUUAAUUUUUUAUUUGGUUAAUGUAUUUACAAUAUUUGAAUGUUAUUAUACUAAUUAUUAAACUUUGUAUUAAUUAGAUGUAUAUUUAAACGUGAAUGAAAUUUAUAUUAAUUUCAGUUUCUGAAUUUAAGUUUUUUAUUGAAAAUAAAAUUUAUUAUAAAAAUUAUAAAAAAAAUAUUUUUACAUAAUGACGGUGUUUGCGUUGGGCAAUGCCACUAAAUAAAUAAUUUAGUGGCAUUUGUAGCAUAAAAUGUCAUUAGUGGUAGCGUCGCUCUUUCCAGCAAACGCCGCUAAUUCGGUGAUAUUUUUAUAGAAAUGCCACUAAAGCAAUGGCAUUUUUCUCAUAACAAUGCCACUGAAUUAGCAACGCUUAAAAUAUAUAAACGCCAUAAAUGUUGAGGCAUUUUCUGUUACAAACGCCGUCAAUACAGUGACGUUUUUCUCAUAAAAAUGCCACUGAAAUAACGACGUCUCUAAGAUAUAAAUGCUGCUAAAAUGACGGUGCUUCACAUACAAACGCCACUAAUAUUAAGGUAUUUUUUCAAAAAUGCCGCUAUUUACAAUGACGCAUGUAUAACUGCACUCUGUAUGGCAUUUUUUAAUAAAUGCCGUAACCUUAUAGUAGCGUUAAUAAACACCACUAAAUGGUUAAAGAAACGCCGCUAAAAACCAAAAUUCCUGUAGUGUUUGUUACCUUCUUAAGGACUUGGGAUUAGUUAUUAAGUAUCAAAUGAAAUAAUGUAAUUGAUCUAAUGUAAAACAUAACAUUACAAGAAAACACUCUUAAUAAUUAAAAUUUGAGAGGCUUCAUAUUCAAAUUUAUAGGACGAAUAUUAGGAUUUAUCAAAUGAAAGAGGUCCAAAAUCUUUAUGUAUACACUAUACCAAAAAAAUCAUAAUGUAUAAAAAAAUUUAUAUGCUUAAUUUAUAGUAUAAAUUAAGGUCUUAAAACAUACUUAAUUGAUUGAUUUCAUCCACAGAAGAAUUCAUAUUAAGAAUUUAGACUAAAAAAAGACUAAAUAGGGAAUGUGACAAUUUUUUUAUUUUAAAAAAAUGGAGUGAUUACUUAUUUUAAUUAGUUUUAGGACUUUUAUGUGAUAUAGUGAGAUGAACUCUUAUUACAAGGUAAUUAUGUUUUAUAAUUGAACUUUUAAAGAUUCAAUGAAUAAAACGAUAUACAUGGCACGAUGAGAGUUCUCCCACUUCGUUGGAUGAAUUUUUAAGGGUUAAUGUUAUAAAUCAUCUUUAAACUAUAGUAAGAUAUUCAAUGUAAUAUUUGAAUUUUAAAAAUUUUUAAUAUGUUACUUAAAUUAUGAAUCUAUUAAUAAAUAUGAUACUUACUCUUAAUGUGGCUAACUUCAAAUGAUGAUAUGUGAUUGAUUAACAAUCUUUUAAGUGCCAUACUAAUUUACAUAUUCAUAAGUUAGAUAUUAUAUUAGAAAAUUUUAAAUUUAGGUAUUGUAUUGACUAUUUUAUUUCAAUUUAAGGACAUGACAUUAACUGAAUUUUUAAUCAAUUAAAUUUUUGUAUAUCUCUAGAAGAAGAAUGCGUGGAUCCUAUGUGUCAAAUGAGUUUACAAAUUACGUUUACUAAAGUUAGGAAAAAUAAAAAGACUAAAGUAUAAAAUUAGGGCAAAUAAUACUUGUAGUUCCUAAACUUUAAGUCAAAGUUUAAAUUUUGUCUUUAAUUUUUAAAAAGAUCUAAUUAGAAACUCAAUUGCUUAAAAUUAUCUUAUUUUGAUUUUCUUACCUAUAAAAUUGUUUAAAUUAAUAGUAAAUGCCAACUGACACCACGUGUAUAGUACAAUUGGCAUCUCAUGUGAUAGAUGAACUAAUAAAGAGAUCAAAUAAAAUUUGCUCAAAGAUUAGAGACCAAAGAUGCUACUAUCUCGAAAGUUUUUAUAUUUCAUAUAUAUUUUAUAAAAUAUUAAAUUUAAAUAGUAUUUUUAAAUUUUUAAUAUUUUAUUCAUUAAAUAUAUUUUGUUUUUAAUAGAUUUUCAAAAAUUAAAAUCAAGUUAAAAAUUUCAAAAUUCUUUUGAAAAAAAUUACAUAUCAUUUUAAAAAACUAAGUAAAAAAAUUUUAUACUGGUUUAAAACAUCAGAUAAAAAACUUCAUAUCUUUUUAAAAUAUUAAGUAAAAUUUUUUAAAUUAUUUUAUUUUCAUUGUUAAAAUUUUAUAUUUAUAGAAAAUUUUUAAAAAAAGGUAAUCAAAAUGGUCCUUAUUGCCUCGAUCUGGUAAGGAAAGAAAUCAAAGUAUUGAAAAUAAUAUAUUUUUUAUUUUUUUUAUAAAUAUAACUAAAAUUUAAUUUUUAAAAUAUUUUUUAUUAAAAAUAAUAUUUUACUAAUAAUUAAUAUCAUAAUAAUAAUAAUAAUAAAAUUUAUUUUAAAUGAUAAUAUUAUGUAAAAAAUCAAUUUUUUCUUUAAUUAUUUUUAUUUUUCUUUAAUUUUUCUUUUUUUUAUAAAUUAUAUUUUAUAAAAUAUAAUAGAAAAAGGAAAAAAUAUAUAGUUCAUAUUUCUAAUAGAAAAUAAUUUUUUUAUUAUGAUGUAUUAGUAAAAUAAUAUUUUUAAUAUAAAAUGGUCUUUUAUUUUUUAAUUGAUAUGGAAUUUUUUUCACUAAGAUUUUAAAAUCUUUAACUUAAUUUUAAUUUUUGAAUAUCUAUUUUUUUAUGAAAAACAAAAUAAAUUUAAUUAAUAAAUUAUGUUGCAAGAAAAAAUAAAAAAAUUAUUAUUUUAAAUUUAAUAUUUUAUAAAAUUAUAUUUGAAAUAAAAAAUUGAGAUAAUAACUUCCUUAUUCUCUAAAUUUUAAGUAAAAUUCUAUUUUUGUCCCCUUGUCUACCACAUAAAAUGCUAGUUGACAUUACCCAUGUGGUACCAGUUGAUAUUUAAUGUUAAUUUUAAUGAUUUCAUAAAUGAAAAAAUCAAAUUAGAAUAAUUUUGAGUAAUUCAGAAUCCAAUUAAAUUUUUUAAAAAAUUAAAAAUCAAAAUAUAAUUUAACUCAAAAUUUAAGGACCACGGGAGUUAUUAACUCUAUAGAAUUAAUCAAAUAGUUGAAAAUUUUUUACAUAGAGGUUAGGUUUUAAUGUUCAAAGUCUCCAUAAACAAAAAGAAAAUUAAAAGUCGUGUUGGAAUGUUUAAUUGACUAGGUAAAUGCAUGGCAGCUAUUAUUUCCAUCACCUCAACAAUACCAAAUUGUUGGUUUAAAUACUUUGAACAUGGAUUUCUACCUAGUUAAAGUGAAUGAACCAAGUUUGUCCAAUUCAAUUUGUCAAUAUCUUUAUUUCAUAUCGAUAGUGAAAUUUUUAAAAUUUAUAAAUUAGAUUAAUAAAUUGACACGUAUCUUUUUAUGCAUUAAAAAUAUAAAAAAUUAAUUAAAAAAAUAUGUAUCAAUUUCUUAAUUUUGUUUGUUAAGUUAAAAAAUUUUAUUAAAAAUAUAUCAGAAUCGAACUUUUAUCUUUAAUGUGUAAGAAAAAGAAAUUUGGGCUAAAAAUAUUGGGAAUUUCCACAACUUCAUUGUGUUAUGGCCUUCUUGGCAAUUGUCAUGAAGUUUCGUCCUUCGCUUUGCAAAGUAAAUAAUGGACGGAAAUCAAUUGUCAUUUUUUUUUUCUUGUCAUAAACGUGAGAAAUAAAAAUUGUUUAUAUUUGUGCUAUUACUUUUGCUAUUUAGGCCCAUCACAUUUCCUAGUUCAACUAAAUUUUAGUCCAAUCUUUCUAUUUGGUGUCAUUUACAAAAUAAAGCUUAUAUCCAAAUGCACUUAACAAACUUUAUUUCAAUCGAGAUUGGGAAUUUUAACAAUAUAAGAGAUAUAUGAUUUAGACUUGGUGUUUAAAGUAGAUGAAAACGACAAGUUUUUUGUAAAAUUUAAUUUAAUUAUAUAUGAUUUUCAUAACUUUGAAUUGAUUCUAAAAGAAACUAGGUAAGUGUUGAUCUCCGAUCAAUGAUUUUAAUUUAUAAUUUCAUCGUCGUCGUCAUCAUCAAUAUUAUUAUUAUUAUUAUUUAGUUCUCAUCAAAAUUAAGAAAAUUUAGAUGAACCUUAUAAAAUCAAAAUUCUAAUUAUUUGUUAAAAUUUAUAUUAAAUGAAUUUAUUAGUGUAAUUUAUUAUUAAAACAUUAAAUGUUAUCAUUAUAAGAAAAAAUUUUCCCCUAUAUUUACAGGUGAAAGGAUCAUGCAUAGUUAUAGAUAAUAUUUCAAUAAAACAAUUUUCCAACUUAUAGUAGAAAAAUAGAAACCUUAAAUUGAAAAAAUAAAUAAAUGACGCUCACAAAUAUACUAUUAAUUACAAAUAAGCAAUUUUUAAUUAAAAAUAGUGAUUAAAAGUAAAUUAAUGGCAACUUAAUUUAGCAUAAUUGGUAAUUGUAAAACCUUGCUUUAGUGACAAUAACUCAAUGUUUGUUGGUUGUACUUAUUUGUUUGUGUUUAUGAAUUUUUUCUGAUAAAAAAAAAAUGUUCCCACGUAAGUCAUAAAACAGACAUAUCAGAAUACUUUACAACCAAUCAUCUAACUUUCGGACAAAAAGAAUAAAUUAAUUUGCGUAACAGUUAUAUUAUUAUAAUAAUAAAAUAAUUUCUCAAAUAAUAAAAAAACUUAUUAUUAUUAUUUUCUCUACUUUUUCAUCUAAAAAAAAAUCAUAAUCAAAGGACAAAAAGCAAAACUAGUAAGGAUUAUUAAUUAUUAUAUUUAAAAUUUUUUAUAUUUAUGUUUUAUUUUCACCAAUACAAAAAAAUUAAUGCAUUAAUUAUAUAUAUUUUAAAUAUUAUCUUAACUAGUGUCACUAACCGUUCAUUAACUUUUUUCAACAAAAAAACAAAUUUAAUCAUUUUUUAAUUUUUUUUUGAUAAAUUAUUUAGUCUAUAUGUCAAAAUAAGAUAUAUCGUACAUAACAGUUUAAGACAAAUGAUUACAGAUCGUACAUUCGAAAUGAUUUCAAUAAGUUAUUAACGAUAAAAUUUGAAUUUAAAAUUUUUUUAUCUAUAAUGAUAAAUCUAAUCGAUUGAACUAAUUAAUUAUUAUUAAUUUUUAAUUUCAAUAAAAUUUAUAAAAAAUAUUAAUAACAGUUAAUUAAUAAUUAUUUAAUAAUUAAAAAAUAUUAUGUCUCAAAUUAAUUUAUAAAAUAUUUAAAAAUGUACCCAAAAAGAUUCAGCUAAAUAUGUUGAGAUCUGUCGCCUUGAUUCUGUCUGAUACGGAACAAGACUCGAUACGGAUUUCUUGAUUAAAAAAAAAAAAAAACCAAACGACUCCUUCACAUUAAACCCCUAAAUCAACGGCUGAGAUUAUCCGCAGCCAUCAUUCAACUAUAUAUAUAAACUAAUAUGUCCACCAUUUCCACCUAAAAAAUUUCUCGAAAUCUCUAACUGGUUUCAUUCUUUCAUUAUUCUCUCUCAAAACCCCAAUCCCAAAUCCUUUCAUCUUCUUUCAAGAAAAUUUGAUUACUUUUGUUUUGUUAUUUGAACAUUUAAUCUGAAUAAUUGGUUCAGUUUGUAGAAGAGCUUGGAUACUCGAUUUUUAUUAAAAGAAUAUUUGAUUUAUCGCCUUUUGGCGAGAAAUGAUAAGGGUUUUGACGAUAACAAGAUUGGAGGAGAGCACCUGGACGAUGGCAAAGUCUUUUGGGUCAUUUGGACUAGGGGGAUUACUACUGCUGGCGGCGUUGGCUGCGUCUAUGAUGAUUCUUCCGCUGGUGUUGCCGCCGCUACCGCCUCCGCCAUUGAUGCUUCUGCUGUUUCCAGUUGGGAUCAUGGCUGCUCUCAUGUUCUUGGCGUUUUCCCCCCCGGAGGCUGCUGGAAAUGUCGUUGUUCAUACAGUAUAAGAACACAUGUUAAACGUGUCUUUCAUAGGAAGAUGGUCGGCCAUUGGGUCGGCGGCUCUUCUGCGGUCGUAGAUGUUGUUGAUUUCUUAUGACUAUAUAUUUGUACAACAUUUACAUUACUUUAUUGUUAGUUGUUUCUUACAAAUGAAUUAUACAUUAAAUUUUGAGAAAAAAAAAGAAGAAAUUUGAAAGUAUAAACAUCAUAGAAAAAAUUUGUGAAUAAUUCCCUUUUCUUCUUUGUUUUCUACAUUUAUGGUUUAUUAAUACAAAAAUAAUGCAUUUUAUGGUUUAACGAUAUUAUCAAUGUGUUUAUCAAAAUAAUUAUUUAGUAGAAUAUUUUAUUUUUUG
This 47289-nucleotide long non-coding RNA is filed under the name Durio zibethinus. RNAcentral's name for it is "long non-coding RNA (DZIB_LNC000764)". The record is from RNAcentral. Lineage: Eukaryota; Viridiplantae; Streptophyta; Magnoliopsida; Malvales; Malvaceae.